AGAUUGGUCGUUAACGGUAACGGUUGCUUGAAAGCGAGGGUUGUGGUCAAGGCCUUGUUUGGCUGUUGUGUAUACUGGCAAGUUCCACACUCUCUGGUGGCAUAGCUCCUGCAGCUUCGUUUUGUACAUCUUUUUUGCUUACAAUAUUUUCACUGAUUUUAAUUUUUUUUUUGGAAUGGGAAACUCAAGAGAAGAGAGAAAUGGAAUUUAGUUGCAAAAUUUGAAGUUUAAUUAUCAAAUAUUACGCCAAGAGAGUACGCUUCAGUUCCACGAACAGGUUCAGAAUAAAUGACGCUUGGGAAUGCUGAAAUGGAAUAAGGCCUUUUUAUAAACAAAUAAUAAUAGUAAACCGACGCCACGGUGUUUUAAAAAUAAGUUUUUUUUUUUUUAACCUUGAAAUUCCUUAUCACAGUGACGUUUUAAAAUAAUAUUUUUUUAAAAUGCAAAAAAAAAAUUUCUUUCUACCAUUUAUAAAAAAGAAAACUUAAAUAAUUUACUGUAUUAAACGUUAAAAUAAACUAAUAAAAAAUUAUCGAUAUUCUAAAAACCAAAUAAAUAAUACCUUUCCUUUAUCUUCUUCUCAAGGAAGGUGGCUAAAAACUUUCUUCUCCAAAGAGAUCUUGUUCUAUAAGGAGACAUGACAUGAAAGUUGAAGGAGAGGGUGAUCGAAGGGGGGAAUAAAAAAUCUUUUAUGGUUGGCUCGUGGACAUGGACUUCUUAUGAAAGGUGGUAACGCUGUCUCAACGUCAUAAUUAUACCGAAGCUAAGUCCAUUUCAAUCAAUAUAAAAUAUGAAUGCGGUAACGACUAACGAGAAGUUAAUAGUUUUGGAUCAAACGAAUAUACAACGUCGUUCGUGUGUUUAUCAAAUAAGAAUUCAAUUUAAACAAUGUAAAUGUGUUAACAAGAAAUUGAGAGUUAUUGAUAAGACGAGCAUAAAAUUAAAACGUCAUUCAUAUGUUCAUCAAACAAGAGUCCAUUUAUGUAUAUGUAUUAACAAGGAGUAGGGAGUUUUAGGUAAGACAAGCAUGUUGAGUUGUAAUCGGAAUAGACAGAAAUCAGAAUAGGAAAUGGAGAUCAGAAUAAAUUAUUUAUUUGAACUGUAGGAAUCGAAAUCGGAAUGAAUUGAAUUGUCAUAAAUGUGUUUACUUUGUCUUGGAAUCGGAAUCGAAAUGAAUUAAAUUAUAACAAAUUAUUAAAAAGUACUUAAUAAAUUAUUGUUAUAAUUAUUAUUUUAUAUUUUAAUUAUAGUGAUUAUUUAUUCAAAAAUUAUUAUUAUUAAUUAUUGUCAAUAAUAUAUUGAUAUAUUAAUUAAUUAUAAUUAUUAUUAUAAAUAUAUUAAUUACUAAUAUUAAUAUAUUUAUCUGCUGUACCGUACAUCCNNNNNNNNNNNNNNNNNNNNNNNNNNNNNNNNNNNNNNNNNNNNNNNNNNNNNNNNNNNNNNNNNNNNNNNNNNNNNNNNNNNNNNNNNNNNNNNNNNNNNNNNNNNNNNNNNNNNNNNNNNNNNNNNNNNNNNNNNNNNNNNNNNNNNNNNNNNNNNNNNNNNNNNNNNNNNNNNNNNNNNNNNNNNNNNNNNNNNNNNNNNNNNNNNNNNNNNNNNNNNNNNNNNNNNNNNNNNNNNNNNNNCAUCUGCUGUACGGCCAAGGCGGAUGUACGGUACAGCAGAUUUGACUUUUUAUUUUUUAUAUUUAUAUCUUUUAUUUAAAGAAGGGGCAUUUUAAGAAAUUUUGAAUGUCAACGGAAGCAAAAGAACUCUAGGUAAUGGGAGAUUGAUUCUCACCUCUCCCAAGGAAUCAAUCUCUCAUUCCUCAUUCUCAAAUAGUGGUGGGUUCCAUGAUUUCAAUUCUGAUUCUUACUCCAUUUUUUGGAAGUAAAUGCCGUUAAUCAUUUUGAUUCUCCAAUUUGGAAAAUAAAUGUACCAUAAUAUUUAAUCAAUUAUUAUGAUUAUUGGAUUUUUCAGAUACUUUUAUCUAUUUUGGUUGGAGGGACGAAGUUCACUUUCUAUUAAAAGAAACAUUAGAGGAGCUUUCAAAGUCUAGGCUAAGGUUGUUUCCCAUGGCCUUGAAGCAAUACCCAAAAAGAGCUUUCCGGCUGGCAAAAUAGGCUUGUGUUUCUGCGUCGCAAAAUGAUGUGAAUGAGCUUUCGGAGUGUUUCCUCUGAAAUUUUAGAUGCUGCAAAAUCAACAUUGUCCCGCUCGAAGUAACCCGGACAAUUUCAUUUCCUAAUUUCUUCUUAUUUAUUAUGGCAUUGAUUUUCAUUGCAAGCUCAUUGCUCUGCUAAGAAAAAGAAUAAAUGGGGGCCAAAAAAGGAAGAAAGAAAUAGAGGCAAAGGCAACAACAUUAAUGCACAAACCAGUAAAGGUAUUCCAUCGAUUUACGGCCACUGAUAGCAAGCCGGGGCCUUUAAAAACGGAAAAUACAAGCAAAGAAAAAUAGAAGCCAAUUGCUCAAUAGUGCAUAAUAUGCAUACGGAAAAUUUUCAUCACAUCACGACCCACAGUUAUUCGAAUAGGUAAUAAGACAGGAAUUUUCUUUCUUUGUUUAAAGUGAAAAAAAAAAAAAUCAAUGGCUCAGGAAGUAUCCCUCCAAUCUCCAGAACCACUCACUUGGCACUGGCAAGCUGGGUGCGGAGUAGCUUGGCAGCAGCGACCAUGUUUGAGAGGGCUGGCUUCACCUCAGUGUACUUGCGAGUCUUAAGACCACAGUCAGGGUUAACCCACAAAAUGUUGGUUUCUAGCACAGCAAGCAUCUUGUUGAUUCUGUCAGCAAUUUCUUCAGUUGAUGGUAUUCUUGGAGAGUGGAUGUCAUACACACCAGGGCCAAUUCCAGCACCAUACUUGACUCCCUCACGGAAGACAGACAGGAGCUUCUCAUCAGAACGAGAGUUCUCAAUGGUGAUCACAUCAGCAUCCAUGUCGAUAAUUGAGUGGAUAAUGUCGUUGAAGUUGGAGUAGCACAUGUGGGUGUGGAUCUGUCAAUCAAUAUACAAUAAGAUGAGACACAACAUCAACAGCUAAAUUAGAGAGAUGAGAUUGGAGAUUGAAAGGGCAACUGACCUGGGUAGUGUCCUGGACGCCACAGUUGGUGAUUCUGAAGGAGUGGACUGCCCAGUCCAAGUAGAAAGCAUGCUCAGAUUUCCUAAGAGGCAAUCCUUCCCUCAAGGCAGCCUCAUCAAUUUGAAUAACGUUAAUGCCUGCCUUCUCAAGAUCCUCGACUUCGUCCUUGAUGGCCAAAGCAAUCUGGUAGCAGGUUUCAUGUCUGCAAAAUUGGCAGCGAUUUAUGUUAAACAAUGUUUCCAUUUCAAAAGGUUAACCAAUAGUGAACCAGUUCUCAUUUAUAUACCUGGGCUGGUCAUUUCUAACAAAGGACCAGUUGAGAAUGGUGACAGGGCCAGUAAGCAUUCCUUUCAUUGGGCGAGCUGUCAUGCUCUGAGCCAAGGAGGACCAGAAGACGGUCAUAGCCUUGGGACGGCUCACAUCACCAUAGAUGAUGGGUGGCUUCACACAGCGAGAUCCAUAGGAUUGCACCCACCCAUUGGCAGUGAAGGCGAAACCUGAUAAUUGCUCUCCAAAGUACUCAACCAUGUCGUUCCUCUACAAAAACAAAUGUCCCAAUUCAAUAUGAGAUACAGCAUACUUCGUAUGCAAUUAGAAAUGCAGAAACAAAAAUGUAUAAAAUUUUAUCUAAUUCAAAACCAGGAGACAUUGCUUUGCUUCCAUUGGGCAUUGUGAAACUCACCUCAGGCUCUCCAUGGACAAGGACAUCAAUAUCAAGCUCUUCUUGGAGUUUGACAACCUUGUUGAUUUCCUCCUUGAUGGAAGCAACAUAUUCUUCCUCAGAAAUCCUAAAAAGGACAAAUAGUCACGGCACAGUUAAUACAGUAGUCGAAGUAAUUUCACACAUGGCAUUGAAUGAAGGAAAACCUCAGAUUGACUCACUUCUUAGCCUUGUAUUCACGGCGGACUCUCCUAAGUUCAAUGGUUUGUGGGAAGGAUCCAAUUGUGGUGGUUGGGAGGAUUGGAAGAUUGAGCUUCUUCUGUUGAGCAUCCAAUCUAGCACUAACGUUUGUAGCACGUCUGUGGUCUGAUCCCUUCAAAGCAGCAGCCUAAUUUACCAAGAGGAAGGAAUCACCGUUAGCAAAAAAAGGAAACUCUAAGGGGCAGCCACAUCAUAAAAAUGGAAAACAAAUCAAUCAUGCCACUUACAGCCUUUUGAACUCUCUCAUUGGUCACUCUCGGGGAGGACUUUCUUGAAGCCUGAGCUGCAGCAUUGGCAGAGAAGAAUCCCUGGAAACAAAUGAAAAGGAGAAACAAAGUUAGUCUCAUUCAUAUCAUUUCAAAAGGAAUAUACAUAUGCAAUUAGUGGGCUGAUUGUGAGAGAAAAUGUCCACAAAACUUUAACCAAACACCAAAUGCCCAAGUUGCCAAAUGAUGUUUAAUUCGGAAAAAUAUAUUUAGAAACAUUCAAAUAAAUAAUUUCCCCUUCUAAAUUUUCAUUUUCAACAACAUAUUUUACAAGCCAAGCUCAACUUCAGGCCAAGAUUUUCUGCUCCUAUAAUUAUAUUUUACCAUAAAACUAGGUCCUUGAAAGGCUAAGAUUUUCUGACUCUUGUGACUAGUCAAAGCCUAAGAUUCUUUCAAUUCAUCCGUAGCUAACAUUUUAGACUAAAAGUAUACCUCAUCCUUUUGGCCAGCCAAAGCCUUGGCCAAUGCAUUCACUUCAACAACUUUCUGGGCAGCAAAUGCCAGCCAUGACUUGAUUUCAUCGUCGAGUUUGUUCUCAUUAACAAGAUCAACAGCAGUGUGAAGAAGUGAGCAGGAGGUGGAGACCACAAGCUUGUCUGCAAAGAAAAAUAAUAAAUUAUACAACAAAUCCCAUAAAAGAAUAAGAAAUAUUUAUCACAAAGAAAAAUGCAGGCAAAGGAUGUAUACCUUUGCCAACAACACCCUCAAGCCCCCGGAGAACACUAAGAGAAGCAGCAAGAUCAUUGGCCCAAAUGUUCCUUCCAUCAACCACUCCAGCAAAGAGGUACUUGCCAGCAGGGAAUCCACUCUUGAUCAAUUCAAGGGUCUUCGUUCCACGAACCAAAUCAAAUCCAUAAGCGGUGACACCCUUCAAAGAAGUGAGGGUCUGGAAUGCCUCAGCUGGAACAUCAGCAAAGUAGGUCUCAACAAGAACAUUCAAGCCAGACAGAGUUGACUCUAGCUCGGCAUAAGCCUCACUGAAUGCAUGCAAUUUGUGUGAGUCAAGAUCCAUAACAAGCAAUGGCUCAUCAAACUGAAUCCAGGAAGCACCAGCAGCCUUAAGCUCAGAAAUAACUUCCCUGCAGAAGUGUUAAUUGGUACAACACAGAUUAAUGAUGUCACUCGAUAUAUACACACAGAGUUAUUUAGCACAUACACAUUUAUAAAUCAGUAAUAGGUGAUAAUUUCUUACUUGUAGAUUGGAAGGAUUUUCGGAAGAAGAGAAAGAAGAGAAAAGGUCUUCGCAACACCCUUGGCAGGCUUAGACAGCAACAAGUAUGACACAGGGCCAAUAAGCACUGGGACAGUUUCAACUCCAAGCUGCAGCAUUAGACAAGUGAUCGAUAUUAGCAUCUCACAAACUUGAUCUGAUUGAUAGAAAGUUACAAGCAAGUUCAGAAUUCGUUUAAUGAAAUCUCUAUGAAAAAUCUUCAGGGUCCACAAUGUGUUGAAAGUACCCUUUUCAAGUAAUUUAUCUUAAGACUAUUUUGCAAACAGUAUUGCUUUCCUUACAGAUCAAAUAAAUCAAACAACAUAUGAACACAUUUACUGAACCAAGUCUAAGUUCAAAGCUCUAUAAAUAAAUGUCAAUGAAUCUAUAGUAAAUUCUAUUGCAUCCUAAGCUAAAGAUGAGCAUAUCAUAUAAGAAUUUCAAGGUGAACGUAACCCAAUUUCAAUAUAUUGUAGAUUCAGAUAUCAAACGAAAUAAAAUUUGUAAAUAUAGACAGAACUGAGAAUAAACACUCACCCCCUUAGCCUCCUUGUACUCAGUCACAGCCUUGUGGGAAGCGUAGGAGAACUUAACAUCGGGUCCCAAUUCAGGAACAAUGAAAUGACUGCAUCAACACGAAGCCAAACACGCGUCAGCAUUCAGUACAAAACCAUUACACCAUAAAUAACUUGAAAUGCCGCUCUUCCAAGUAGUGAAUACUUACUAGUUGGUGUCGAACCACUUGGUCAUUUCCAUAGCGGGAACAGAGGCGUUUCCUCUGGCCAUGGAGAAGUAAACAUCAAAUCCAAUCUCGCCGCCGUUCCAGUUAUACCUCGGGGGCACGGCACCGAGCAUUGCGGUGGUGUCGAGCACUUGGUCGUAGUAGGAGAAAGUGUUGCUGGGAAUGUAUUUGAUCCCGGCCUGGGACAUCUGUUUCCAGAUGGAGGAUCUGAGAUCAGCGGACACCUUUUGCAAAUCCUCAGCGCUGCUCUUGCCAUCCCAGAAGGAUUCCAACGCGAACUUGAGCUCCCUCUUGGGGCCCAUGCGUGGGUAUCCAACGAUGUGAGAUGCCAUUUUACUGUCAUAAUCACGUCAUCAAUGAAUCGAAAAUCAGUCACUUUCAUUAAAUCAAGAAAAUAUUCAUUCAAAUGGAUGGGUCAUUGCUAUUACUGCUCAAAUCAAAUGAAAUCAAGAACACUUAUCAGAGCAUAAAAUCUUAAAUUAAUUUUUUUAUAAAAAAAUAAAAAACCAGUUGAAACAAGCUGAUAAUAAUCCAAGAGUUUGAGAUGAUUUUUUUCUUUCUGUAAUCACAUGAACAAUUAUGUACUUUCAGUCAUUUUUGAAGGAUUAAAACAAAAAAUUCUACAAAUAGAUUCUGAAAAGAAGAAUCUAAAAAUAGAUUCAAAAACAGUAACACAAGUAGAGUUCAAAUUGUUUUUCGGAAAAGAUUAAUUACAGAUCUGAUUGAUUCACGUUCAGAUCUAGCAAAAUCACGGCAGCCAAACACUAGAUCUAACACUAACAGUCACUCACCAGUCCAUUAGAAAAUGAAAUCAAGUUCAAAAUUCUUUUAAAGUUAAUUCUUUUUUAGAAAAUGACCAGAUUUUAGUUGAGUAUUAGUGAGUUUUUUACAAAAUAAUUUAUUUUUGUUUUUUAGAUCCAAAAGUUCGGAAAUCAAAACCAUGUUCAAUGCUUAUUCAUGAUUAACGGCGUAAAAACGCUACUGCAGAGAAGACAUAACGAAAAUGGGAACCGUACCAAACAGAGAAAGAAGAGCAGAGAAAUUGAGAGUCGAGAGGAGAGAGAGAAGAGAGCGGCGAGUUUGGGGGAGUGCCCUCUCCGUUAUUUAUAGCCAAAAAUCAAAUCUGGUUUGGUGGUUGCCUUUGGCGUGCCAACCUGUAGAUCUGAGAUUUUUCAUCUUAAUUUCUUUCUCUUAUUUAUUUAUUUAUUUAUUAUGAUUUUCAGUGCAGUUCAUAAAAUAUAGAGCUGACGCGCGCUUUUCUGAUGUGGCGCGUGAAUUGGAAAUGCGGUAGGUCUUUGUGGGCCCCACGGCACGGUCAGGACUGAAGGAAAAAUGUGAGAAGUUAUCAUAAUUUCAACAGUGCCAUAAUUAGCAAUUACACCACCAAAUAUUUCUUGAGUUUUUUUUUUUUGAUUGCUUUAAAUGCAGAGUUGUUAUGAAUUGUGUUAAUUGUAGAGUUGUUAUGAUUAGAUUACAUUAUAAUUCGUCACAAUUAUGAUAGGUAUGUACGUAUAUAAUAAUUUAUGAGUAAUGAUAUAACCACAAACUCUUAUACAAACUUAUUUUGUACAAAUUGAUGUGGCAUGAUAAAAUUAGUUGAAUUAAAUAUUACUUGAUCCACAUGAUUUGUUAUUAUUAUUUUAUAUUUUCAUUCAACCAAUGAAUUAAUGACACGUCAGUUUGUACAAGAUAAGUUUGUACAAGAGUUUAUGGUUGUAUCAUCACUCAUAAUUUAUAUAAGAUCUCGAAUAUUUAAAAAAUUUAUAAAUCAUUAUUUUCAUGUACAUUUACCUGGUAGCAAUGACAAUAACAUAAAAUAAACUCCAAACAAGAAUGGAUUAUAUUAUUUAUGUUAUUUUAUAGCUUUUUAAUUGAUUUUUAAAAGGAUUAAUUGUUAAUCAUUACUCUCCAACCGUAAUCACCAUUAAAUAUUUAUUUAAUUUAAUAGUCGGUAGAUCAUAAAUAAGAUUAGAAUAUUUAAUGGACAAUCUAAUUGCUACUACAAUUGUUAUCAUUUUUUUAAGGUAAGGGAUUAGACAAUACUCAAAUUUAUUUUUUAACCCCUUACUCCCUAAAGAUUCGAAUUUAACUAACUAAUUAAAUAAGACUGCUUAAAAACCACUCAACCACAUCUUUUGGGGACCAAUUAAUAUCGAUGUUUAAACUGAGGUUUAUUAUUAAAUUUUUUAAGUUUCAAGUUUCAACCGCUAACAACAUUAUCAUCGAUUAAUGAUAAAUAUAAUAAUAUUUCAUCAAAAAACCAUUUAACACAUCCAUCCAUAUUAAACAUAAGUAAAAAAUUUAUCAUGCAUUUCAAAUAUAUUUUUCAUCCUAAAAGUUAUGGAGAAAAUCUUGAUAUCAAAACUUACAAUGUAAUUAUGGGAUGUAAUUUUGCAUUUGAGGUCAGCACAACUUAAAAAUUACUAUGAAUGAAAAUUUAUAAUAAGCAGACACCACAAAAAAAAAUUAUUUAUAAGUAUUACAAUCAUGCAGUUUUAUUUAAGUAUUUAACCAAGUCAUUCAAUUUCUAAUUAAGACGGUAUAAAUUAGAUUUGGGCUGCCUAAGACCAAAAGUCAAAAAAAAAAAAAGAAUAUUCCUAAUAAGCAGCCUACCGCGGUCACGCGCCUUAAGAAACGCUUGGACUUAGCACACGAUUUUAAUCCAAAAUGUAUAAAAAAGGAAAAAUUUAUGAGGUGUAUAAUUAUCUUGAGUUGUUAUAUUUUGAAGAAACAAUGAAGAAAGUUGGUGGCCGAAGUUGAUCCGGGGCGAAUGGUGGUGGGCCCACGUUGUUGCAUUAUAAUUGGAGUUAUUGUAAUUUUUCUUAUAAUUAAUAAACUCCAUUUUUCAAAGAAAAUAAAUAAAUAAAUACACUCCCGAUUACGAAAAUAUCAUUUCAUGAGUGUCAAAGUUAGAGCUGGCAAAAUUUGACACGACCCGAUUACCUGACACGAACACGACAUAAAUAAAUAAGUAUGGAUCGUCAAAUUUAACACGAUUAUUAAAUGGGUCGGGUCUGGGUCAACACAAUUUUUUUCCGUGUCGGGUUUGGGUUAAAAUUCUUGACCCAUUUACCCGAUCAAUGACCCGAUUAUAUUUUCUAUUUUAAAAUAAUUUACAUAUUCUUAUAAUUAAAACUCAAAUAUUAGAGAUAUUUUUUUUAUUCUUUAAAAUGGUGAAUAUAAACACAGUGUUUUAUUUAUAAAAUUUUACAUACAUUUAGAGCUUCAAUAGUGUAAAUGUGUAAAAAUUGAUAGACAUGUAUAUUUUAUAAUAUUGAUAUAUAAUAUUAUAUAUAUAUAUAUAUAAUUAAAACCUCAAUAGUGUACAUGUGUAAUAUAUUGGUAGAUAUGUAUAUUUUAUAAUAUCGAUAAAUUAUGUAUGUAUGUAUUUAUGUACAUACGUAUGUAUGUAUUUAUGUAUAUACGUAUGUAUGUAUUUAUGUACAUACGUAUGUAUGAUAGUGUGUAAAUAUUUUAUGUAACUUUUGUUCAAUAUAUAGAUAUUAAACGGGUUAUUGGGUAACCCGAUUGUUUUUCCGUGUCGGGUUUGGGUCUCAAUAUUUUGACACGAUUAUUAAAUGGGUCGGGUUUGGGUCGACCUAAAUUUGACACGACACGACACGAACACGACCCGAUGACCCGUUUUGCCAGCUCUAGUCAAAGUGACCGUCACCUACGCAUCGCGUUUGUUGGGCGGGGUGGGUAAGGUGGGGCGAGGAGUUUGUUUGAUCGUCUGAUUACUUUGAUUUUGAUGAAACGUAUGGACGACGGCGAUGGCUUGCCAGCAAGUGGGUUUAUCAUGAUUUUGAUUGUAUUCGGGGAGAUGCUUAUGUAUAUCCUCAAAACUUCUUGGAAAUGAAAACCGCUGGGGUGGCAAAUCUUGACCAAUAAAGUGUGCGUGAUGUUGCGUUUAUAAAUUUCAAUAAUACUAUUGGCCGAUUGAGAUUAUUUUUAAAAAGUUUAAAAAUAAUUUUUAAAGGUUAAAUGUUAAUUUUAAUAUUGAAUAAAUUUUUAAAAAUUAUUUUUGAUAAAAUCAUUUUAUCCUCCAAUAAAUUUUAAAAAAUAGCGAUACAGUAAUUUUUUAAAAUCUAAUUUUAAUAAUCAAAACUAUUUUUUUAUAUAAUUUUAUAGAUAUCCGCAUAUAUAUAUUAUAAAAAUUCGAAAUCAUUAUUAUUAAUUAGGAAAUAAAAUCAUUAACUUUUAAGAAAUUAUUAUUAUUACCAAUUAUACUGACAUAACAAAAUAAAAAAUUAAUUAAUAUUAUAAAUAUUUAUUUCAGUUAUCAACUAUUAUAUAUACACAAUAAAAAAUAUUUUAUAUACAUAUUUAUAAAUGUAUAAAUAAUUUUUAUUCAAUAUUAUAUCGAAUUAAUCAUUUACAUUCUUGCAACAAGUUAACAAUAAAAUUUACCAAACACAUACGAUUGUUUUUAAAACUCAUAUUAUUUUUUUAAAAAAAAAUUACUAAACCUUUAACUGAUUCUCUUACAACUGAUUAUUUCUACAGUACAAUUAACAACAAUUAUUUUAAAAACUAUAACAUUUUCAAACUAGCCCCAUGACAAUAUUGUUAUUGUUGUUUUUCUUACUCUUAUCAAUAAAACUACGUUGCACAUAAGUGCAUAAAAAUUCACACAAAAUAAACUAUUUAACUUUAGGGUAUUAAUUGAAAAAAAAAAUCAGAUUAAGGUGAAUAAAUAUCAGAAAAUAACAAAUAGAUAAACUCUCACACUCUUUAAAAAAAUUAAUUUUAUAAUUUUAUUUAAAACCAACAGAUAUUACCAAACUUAACGGAUCAAUGUUCCAAUGUUUUCUUUUUAAUUUCAAAACCAACAGAUAUUCUUUGUUCAUUAUAUGACCUCCAAACAAAUAAUUUCAUUAAUAAAAUAAUAAUGAAAAGUAUCGUGGUGAGUACAGAGUAAUUCGGUGGCUAAUAAAAGUCUCUAUUUUUCGUCUCUGUUUUUCAUUUUAACUCUUGGGGUUGGUGCCACUUCGGCCUUGGUCGGAGUGGUGGGCUGCUGCCCUCACAAGUAUUGUGAGGACAGUGGUUCAAGCCCCCACAAAUAUUUUUGUGGGGGCUAACGUACUUAUUUAUUUAAUAUUUCAAAAAUUUCUUCUCCCUCGUGCAAUACGAGUGGAGUAUGGACAUCCCUCCUCUAUAAGGGAUUAUUUGUCUGGGCAUGUACUUCACAGAAUUCAAUGUAAUAAUAUAAGUCUCAAUCAUAUAUUUUUGAUUGUAAAUAUCAAUAUAAUAUAUCUGCUAUAAUAGCAGUUGUAAAUAUCUGUGUAAUGCAAUAAUAUGAUAAUUAAUCAUUAUUCAAAAAAAAAACUCUUGGGGUUGGUAGGCUCGUGAAUGGUCCACGUAACCUCUGGACGUAACACUCAAACAAAGACAGCACAAGGCACAUGAAAAAUGCCUAAAAACCGUAAAACCGUGACGUGUUCAACAUAUUAAUAAAUUUAUACUGUGUUUUCUUUUUUUUUUUAAUACUGUGUUGAUAAAGCACUUACGAUGGAACGACCAAUUCUAUUACUUGCAAAACUAAUUAAUAUUUCACUCUAUCAUCUAACUAAUGGAAGGCCAUCUUAAUUGAGGUUGCAAUAGUUAGAAAGUAGCGGGAAGGGUGGCCAAUGCUCCAUAUUAAUUUGCAUCAAUCCCUUUCUGGUGAAGAAGUACGGGUGAAGUAGAGGUCAAAGUUAGAAGAUGAAGGGUGUGUUUGGGAAUUGAGAGUGAGGUGCUGUAGUUUUUUAGCUGCAGUUGCUGUGAAAUAAAAGUUAUAACUGUGGAAUAGAAGUUGAGAAAAAAAAUUUGUUAAGCUGCCAAAGCCCAGUUACAAAUGUUACCAAACACCUUAGUAGCUAGGCUUUGGCAGCCCAUCUACCCCAUCACACUCCCAAACGGAUUAGAAGGGGACCGGGAUUGCUUUGUCAUAUUUGAAAAUGAUUUUGAAAAAAUAAAAAUUAAGUUCAGAAUUUGGUAAAUUCCUUUAAAAUUUCUUUUAGCAAAAUCACUCUCUCCUUUAGAUUUUGAAAAGUAUGGAAUGAGUAGUUUUUUAAAAUUUAAUUUUGAAAUUCGGAUUCAUAUUUAAUAUAAUACCAUAUAUCAUAACAUGUAUUAUAAAAAUCUAAAAUUAUCCUUAUUCAAUCAAUUAAGAAGUAAAAUCUUACAUUUAAAGAUAUUAUCAUUAUCAAUUAUAUUUAGAUAAUAAAAAAUACAAUUAAUAAAAUAAAAAUAUUUAUUUUAGUUAUCAAUUAUUAUAUAUAUACAUAAAAUGUAAUUAUAUAAACAUAUUUAUAAAUGUAUGUGUAAAUUAAAUUUGUAGAUUUAUGUUUAUAUAGAUCAUUUGCAUUCUUAUCACAUUUUAAAAGUGAGAUUUAUUAAAUAUAUAUAUGAUUAUUUUUAAAAUUUACAGCACUUUUUAAAACAAAAGUAUCAAAAGUUUAAUUGAUUCCUUAUUUUUACUGUACAACUAACAGUAAGAUGUGUUUGGUUCAAGUAUAAAAUGAUGGGAUUGGACAAUUUUAAGAUUAAAUAAUCCUAAUGCAAUGUUUGGUACCAAAAAUAAUUGUGGGAUAAAAAUAGUGGACCCCACCAUUUAAUCCAACACAAUGUCAAAAUUUUAUCACAAAGGGGGGUGUGGGAUAAGCUAAAACUUAAACGUAGGAUAACAAAAAAAAAGCCCAAAAUUUUAUACAACACAGUGAUUUUUUUUUUUUUUUGAGUAUGUCAUCAUCCAAUGAUAGUAUAUAUGCCAGAACACUCUUUUGACGUUAAUGAUAUGUAAUAUUUUCAUAUAUACAGCUAGUGACAUUGUUAUGUAAUUUCUUUUUCAUUUAUAGAUUUAUAUUAUUAUUAUAUUUGUUGAUGAUAUUCUUGUUAUGUUUAUAAUUAUAUUAUUUAGUAAUUUAUAAGUUUAAAAACUAUAACAUGUUAAAUAUAAGAAAAACUUUAAGCGAAGAUUUUGUAUUUUUUAACAAAUUUACCAAUAAUUUUUUAUUUAAGUUAGAUUAUAUUCCAUGUCAUUUUAAAAUAAAUCUAAGAUAAUUUUGAUAAAUUAAUAAAUAAGACAUAUUAUUAGUUACUAACCAAUUUCAUGGCAUACCAAACAUGAGAUAUGAUUAUUUACAGUCUAAUCCAACAUUGCACCAAACGUAAUAGAGUAUUAUAUAUAAUCCAAUGUUAUCAAAUCCAAUCAUAUCUUAUCCAAUCCGAUCCGAUCCAGUCUAAUCCAAUUUGACAUACCAAACAAGCCCUAAUUAUGUUAAAAACUACAUCAUUACCAAACUGACCCUUAAUACAAUCUCAUACAUACAUACAUAUAUAUAUAUAUAUUAAAAAUUAAAAAUUAUCUUUAUUUAGUUAGGAAAUAAAACCAUUAUAUUUAAAUAGAUUAAUAUUAUUACUAAUUAUAUUCAGAUAACAAAAUUAAUAAAAUAAAAAUAUUUGUUUGAUUUAUCAAUUAUUAUACACACAUAUUUAUAAAUGCAUGCGUAAAUAAAAUUUUAUAGAUUUAGGCCAAGGCGGAUGUACGGUACAGCAGUAUCUUUAUUUAGUUAGGAAAUAAAACCAUUAUAUUUAAAUAGAUUAAUAUUAUUACUAAUUAUAUUCAGAUAACAAAAUUAAUAAAAUAAAAAUAUUUGUUUGAUUUAUCAAUUAUUAUACACACAUAUUUAUAAAUGCAUGCGUAAAUAAAAUUUUAUAGAUUUAUGUCUAUUUAAAUCAUUUGCAUUCUUAUAACAUUUUAAAAAAAGAAAAGAAAAGUGAUUUACCAAAUACAUGUAAUUGUUCUUCAAACUUACAACACUUUUAAAAUAGAAUUUAAUAAAUGUUUAAUUAAUUUUUUCACAGCUGAUUAUUUUUAUGGUAUAACUAACAAUAAUCUAUAAACUUAUGGUAAAUAUUUGUGUGAAUGUUGGUCCAUGUAAAGAAGUAAAAACAACGCAUAUAUCAAGCAAUAAGAUAUCAAAACUCUUAGUAAAAUACAUAUACUAAUGAAAGAAUGACAGCAAUGCAAUAAAUAAGAUUAUAAUAUAAAUUAUUAAAAUUGUAUAUUAAAAAUUGAUGUAUGAAAUUCUUUUUAUUUUAGUGAUAGAUAAUGUGAUAUAUUUGAAUAAUUUGAUUAAAUGAAAAGAAAAAUAACAAGUAUGGUUGUGGAGGAAAUAAACCAUUGAACUGUGGAAUGUUAUUAAUUAUUGCUAUUUCAUUAUGUAACGUCCUGAUAAUAAGUACAGUGUUAUAGUAUAUUGAUGGGUGGUGAUAUUGUCACCCCUUAAAUUGUGUAAAGUCAACCUCAUUUACAAAUUUUUUGAUAUAAAUUAAAAAGUACAUUAGUUUUAAUAAAUUAUAUAUUUAUUGAAUAAACUAGAACCGUUAGGGAGCUGUAAUGUUAGCACUGUUUUAACUUAUUAUAAAAAAAAAAGUUAUGAUUUGAUCAUAACUCUAAUUUAGAAAAGAAAAAAGAGUUGAAUUGCUAACAUACUUAAAAAUAAAAUAAAAACAUUAUUAUUAGAUGAAAAAUUGUAAAACUUAAGGGGGCAUUUGCAAGUCCGCCACUACUCAAUAGAGCAUUAUUCAGUACUCGUUAAUAUAUCUCGAACUUUUAGGUUUUUUUAAUAUAUUUUUAAUACAUUUUCUAGAACAUUUAGAUAAAAAGAGUCAGUACUCCAAUUGAGUUGUGAAUAAACAUUUAGAUAAAAAGAGUCAAUACUCCAAUUGAGUUGUGAAUAAACUCAUGUUAAAAAAAAAAAAACUCAUUUUCACACUUGAAACGAUUAGUAAAUGGGUGAUACGAAUUUAACUUGGUCAAUAAUAUAUACCAUCUUAAGUUAACUUCAACUCAUUGAUCUUCUAUAGGGUUGAUCAGCCUGCCACAAGGCCCACAAAUUAUCACCUCUAAUGCUUUUGCAACAGUCGUUAUAAAUGCUGACAAAAUGAAACUUCUAUAUAUUUUGGUUUUUUUUUAUUUCUAUGAAAUAUAAGGCCCUUAUGGCAAAUUUCCAUCCAGCGUGAAAUUUGCUAGUUUGGCCUUGGUACUGUGGCACAUGCGUCAUGCAUGCGUGGCUGAGAUGCUUCUAAAACUAAUAAAUUAUGAAGAAUUCCAAAUUCGUACCAAAAAUAAGAGAAUAGGAGCUUGUCAUAGGUGUCCGCGGAUCGGAUUUUAUGGGUUAAACAUUAAUUCAUAUUUGAUUCGUGAUUUUGUAGAUUAUAAAUUUUUAAUUUAAUUCAAUUUAUGGAUUAGUGAAACUCAAUACAAAUUCAAUCCAUAUAUAUGCAAAUUAGAUGCGGAUUUAACCCAAUGCAUAUUCAAUCCAUCAUUUGGCGGAUUGAUUUGCAAAUUAAAAGUUUUUAAUUUUGUCCAAUCUAAAAAGUAAUUAAAUUAAAAAAAUCUAAUAUAUAAAUAAUUGAUUAAAUAAAAAAAUCUAAUGUAAAAAUAAUUUUACUACCAAUUAAAUUCAAAAUUGAACAAGAUUUAAAUAAAUUUAGAAUAAUACAUUCAAAAUUUUAAAAUAUAACACACCGAAAAAAAAAUUCAUUUAUUUAGAUCAAUACAUGAAAAUUAACUAAAAUUAUGAAUUUAAAUGUUGAAACUUGAAAGCUUGGAUGUAACAGGAAGAAUUUAAGAAACUUGAAGAGCUUGAAAAGAAAGUAAGAAAUUAAGUUUAAUUACCUCAAGUGGUGAAGUGAAACAGUGAUUGGCUUGUGCGUGCGGUGGGAUAGAGAUUUGGUGUUAUAUGUCAAAAUAUUUUGUUUGGCUUGGGGUUUUUGUUUUGCUUUAGAAAUUUUAAUGUUUAGGAAACUAUAUUUGCUUAUUUAAUUAUUUCUUAUUUUAUAUUGUUAUCGAAUAAAAUAUAAUAUUUUGUUAAUUUAGCUAUAAUUUUAUGCUGAAUAUAUUUAUUUAAAACGAUUUUAUUAAAUAAAUGUGCAUAUUUAACGAAGGUCUCUGAAAUUUCAACCUGCCUGCUAAUGAUAGCCAAUACGGCACGACCCACCAAAUGUCGGCCCACGCGGGCUUGUGGGCCAUGACGACUUUUUUUGUAAGGGCCCGGCACGGCCCACGGCACGAGUCCGUGCCCAAAAAAAGCCCACCUACCUUUUUUUUUUUUGUCCACAUGUUCAGCGUGCCUAAAAAAACCCACGUGCCUGACGUGCUUUUUUAAGCCCACCAGCCUAAUAGUAACAACAACAACAACAAUAAUAAUAAUUUCAUAGAAAUAAUUAAUGAAAAAUAAAAUAACAAUUCUAGAAUAACAAUUACAUCUAAUUUUAUUUGAACAACUAAUAUUAUAAUUGCACAUAAACUCUAUUGAAUGAAAAUGUAAUUUUUAAUUUAUUAUAAAAAUAUUUUGUUCAUAAUUUUAUUUUUUUGUGCGUAAAUAUGAAAAAUAUUUCAUUCACAAAUGAAACAUAUCUCCAUUAACUAUUAACUAAGUUAUGAUUUCAUAAAUGAAAUAUUAAUGUCGUAAAAUUUUUUAUUUAUCAUUUAUAAAAUCAUGAUAUUUAUUUAUCCAUUUAAUAAAUUAUAAACAUAAAAAAAUUAGAAUACUUAUUUAAACUAGGACUUAAAUUAAUUUUAAAAAGCCUAUACUAAAAAAAUAUAUUAAAAUUUUUAAUUUCAAGGUAUUUAUAAAAUCAUGAUAUUUUAUAUUUAUUUUUCAUUAAAAAAUUUUAUUUUGAUAUACUUUGGCCCACGUGCUAUUGGUGGCCCACGGGCCGCGUGCUUAGCCCACCAAUAAAGUGUGCUUAUUACAUGCCUUUUCGCGUGCCGUGUUUUGCCCCAUCUCUAAUCAUACCGUGCUUUUAAGGCCUGCGUGCCUAAAAUUCUAGGCCCGCCAGCCGUGCCGUGCCGUGCCGUGCCUCGUGCCGCCUGGCCCAUUGGCCAUCCCUACUGCCCGCCAACCACAUUUGUCCAAGAUCAAUUUGUAGGAAAAAAAUUUGAAAAUCAAUAAUUUAUUUAAUUAAUUGUUAAUGUAGGCAUUUGAAUCCCCACAAAAUCUGGGUGUCAGUUCUAGACUUCUGGUGAUAUAUUUUUCUAAUUAAGGAAUAAAAUAUUUUUGUCAUUUUUUUAAUAUUUUAAUUUACCAGGCAUAUCAACUAAUUAAUUUUUCUACUUAGACUAUUAAUUCAUUACGUGCGCAAUCUGUAGCCCGGCGCUCCAAUCCCAUGCAUGUUACACACAACUCAAUCAUUAUUUAUUUAUUUAUUUAUUUUGACCAACAACUCAAUGUUUUUUAUAGAGCUGUCAAAAUUUGACACGACCCGAUUACCCGACACGAACACGACAUAAAUAAAUGGGUAUGGGUCGUCAAAUUUAACACGAUUAUUAAAUGGGUCGGGUCCGGGUCAACACGAUUUUUUUCCGUGUCGGGUUUUGGGUUAAAAUUCUUGACCCAUUUACCCGAUCAAUGACCCGAUUAUAUUUUCUAUUUUAAAAUAAUUUACAUAUUCUUAUAAUUAAAACUCAAAUAUUAGAGAUGAUUUUCUUUUUUUUUAUUCUUUAAAAGGGUGAUAUAUUUUAUAAUAUCGAUAAAUUAUGUAUGUAUGUAUUUAUGUACAUACGUAUGUAUGAUAGUGUGGAAAUAUUUUAUGUAACUUUUGUUCAAUAUAUAGAUAUUAAACGGGUUAUUGGGUAACCCGAUUAUUUUUCCGUGUCGGGUUUGGGUCUCAAUAUUUUGACACGAUUAUUAAAUGGGUCGGGUUUGGGUCGACCUAAAUUUGACACGACACGAAACUGACACGACAUGAACACGACCCGAUGACCCGUUUUGCCAGCUCUAGUUUUUUAAUAUGAAAAGGUAUUGGUUAGCUUUGUCUUUAGUUUUUUCAACUUAUAAUAAGUUUGUAUUAAGGCUCCCUUUGGUACAGAUUUUCAAGUAAAACUUAUUUAGGGUUAUUUUUAGGGACCUCCCCUGAGGUUUGGUGUAUUAACAAUCUGAUAGAAAGUAUUCACGUAAUUACAAAGACCUCCCCUGACAUUUGUAUUAUGUUAAGUGGACUGUUAUUGACUAUUGAAAAUCCAAAAAUACCCUUCCUGCCAAAAUAUUUCUUUAUUCACUGAUGAACUGAUGGGUAAUUCGUGCCAAAAUCACAAAUUACUUAAGAAGAUGAAAAUAUCCAUUGGAUAAAAAAAAUGAAAUUGCUUAAUAAAAAAAUUGACAUUGCAUAAUAAUAAAAAAAAUUGAAAUAAUGUGCGGCGGCAUAGCUGCAUCUUGCAUGCAUAUUAUUAUUGUGAUUUUUUUAUUACAAACUCCAUCCUGCAUGCUUAUUAUUAUUGUGAUUUUUUUUAUUACAAACUACUUCAUAACUAAUACAUGCCACAAGAGCAGAGCUAUUAAAAGAAAUGAUUUUCAUAUUGUAAACUUGAUAGUACAGGUGUUGGCACCGACCAUAAAACCCUUAUGAUACCAAUCUUUGCUCCAUCCAUAUUUAAAUCCAGAUCAAGUAAAUAUUAAAUUGGAUUUCAGGUCCUGAAAAUCCCACUCUAUAAUUGAUAUCUUCGAGUUUUGUUGGUGCCUCAAACCUGGAUCUAGAGCAUCAUCUCUGUCAUACUCGGAACACCUAAACUAAUGGACUUGCUGCAGCUGCUUAUUCUUCUUCUGAAAUGAUGCACGCAGAUAGAUUACAGACUUUGAAAUAAGAAAUACAAUAAACAACAUGUAAUCGAACUUAAGAUUUCGGCAAACUUGUUUGAAAAUUAGAAUCAAACAAGGAAAAUGGCAAGUCAAUAUUUUUUAAUCUAGAAAAAGGGCAAUUUCAAAGUUUAUCACAUGCCAAAUUCAUAGUCUUGCAUCCACUAUUUUCUAGUUUGAAUAACAAACAAAAGCCUUAGACAAAAACACAGAGAACAUCUCACAUGGGAGCAAAAAUUGUGUGUAGAACAAUAUACUUAAGUUACAUGUGAUUACAAUCACAUUAUUUAGCAAAUACAAAAUUACCUUCUCAAAAAAAAAAAAAAAAAAAAAAACACCACCAAAUUAUUGAAGGUAUUACAACAAUAAGGCAAAAGAACACCAAAGGCAUGCACAAACCGAAACUAACACACAACUCAAUUAGUGUCAUGACCCCAAACUGAACAAUCAUAUAAACCAUUGUGGGCUCUCUAAAAGAUUAUCACAUUAUAAGCAAACAGAAACCUAUAUUUGAUGAACUACAUCUAGUACUUACACAACUCUUAAAUCAUUAGGAAAUUGCUCUUAUCAGUCAUUACCCAAUAGUUUUUUUCAACUCAACACUAACAACCCCAAAGAGAAACAACAUCCAGCACCAUUUUCAUUAAUUAAAACAGACCCAUUGUUAUUUUUAAUCAAUAAAAUAACAACAAUAUCGUGUAAGCCACUGAUUCAAGCAUUCAAGCUGUGUUUUCGAAGACUGACCUCUUCUUGCUAUCUAAUUCCAGUCACGAUAGACGCUAGAUGCCGGCAAUACUCGCUUCUUGGAAGCUCUGGACCACCGCACGACGUCAUCUUGUGCAGUAGAUGAAAAUAAAUCAAUGAUUUCAGAAAUUAUUUGUGAGUUGCAGACGCUUCUUCUCCAUGGAUGAAAAUGAUGGUGGGUUUUGUUCAAGUGUAAGCUGUGUUUACGAGGAGAAGUACACUUUGUGAAAAAAUCAUUUUCUUUCAUCUACUGGAUAAUGACUUUGGACUGGGUAAUGGUGUGUUUAAGUCUCUAUUUCACGGACAUUGAAGCAUAUUUUGCUUGAAUUUUGAUUUUGUUUAAAUUUCAAGUUUACUUUUACUUGUUUACCCUUUUAUACUGACGCUUAUGUAUUUUUAUACUAACGUUAAGGGAGGUCUUUGUAAUUAUAUGAAUACUUUCUAUCAGACUGUUAAUACAACAAACCUCAGGGGAGGUCCCUAAAAAUAACCCAACUUAUUUAAAUAGAACUUUUACAAAAAAAAAUUUAGUUAUUUGGUUGUCAAUAAACUUUUCAAGUAUACUUUGUUUGGUACAGCUUUUCAAGUAAAACUUAUUUAAGUAGAGCUUUUACAAAAAAAAAAAAAUUAGUUGUUUGGUUGUCAAUAAAAAUUUUUAUUAAAAAAAAUAUGAAAUUACUUUAUUAGUCAAGUUUUUUUAAAGUUAUGCUAUGAAAAGAAUAAAAUAAGAUUGUCAAAUAAAUAGAAAAUAUUUUAAAUAUUUUAACAUUUAAAAAAACUUUUUAACCUUUAUUUUCAAAAAUCUAAAAUUUAAACUUUUACUAGUAAAGGCAAAAUAAUUUAUUUAAACUUCAAAAGCUUUAUUAGAAAAAUAAUCAAACAAUAACAAAAAUUAUUAUAAAAGCUUAUCGAAUUAAAUAAGUACUUAUAGUUAUUAAAGAAGUUAUAUCUAACAGACACUAAUGCCGAAAGCCCCUUCUAAUUGUGGGUGUAAAAGUUUGAAUUAUGCAUACGGUUAAGGAGUUAAGGUGUGUUUGGCAACUGCAUUAAGUGGAAAUUUUUAUUUUGUUUCGAAUAAAAAUACAGCAAGCUCGUGUUCGGCUCAAAAUAAUGGAACGUUUAAUUUGCAACCGUCGGCGGACGAAGCACACCGUUCACGGCCCUUCGUAUAAAAUUGCAUAUGUAAACGUAAAUAGGUCCGGAUUCAGAUUCGUUGCUGUAGAGAGUGGCACGCACGAUCGGGCUGCUGUCGGUGGUAGGUUGGCAUUGGAAUUCUCAUCACGCGCUUCCCCAGGCGCCUACUUAUGGCAAAUUGACACGUGACGCGUGUGGAUUGAAUGGACAGAGUCCCGGGCAGUGUGUCCAAAGCUGCCAACCGUGCUCUGAUUUUUGUCAUCCAUAAUGGCUAACGACUAACGAGGGAGAUUUCCGGGCAGAAAGAAAUUGUUGUCGUUUCUGAAGGGGAAAAAAAAGUUAUUUAAUUUGUUGUUGAAGACAAAAUGAAGAUCUAAAUAAAUAAUGGCUAAUUUUGAGUGUAAAGCAACGGUAAAUGCAUUAUUAAAUUAGAUUUAGGGUCUGAUUGAGAUUAUUUUUAGAUUUAAAAUUAAUUUUGAAAAGUUAAAAUUAAUUUUGAUGUUUAUUAAUUUUUAUUAAAAAUUAUUUUUGUCAAAAUCUCUCAUCCUCCAGCAUAUUAUAAAAAAUAAGGAAGAAAUAAUUUUUUAAAAUUUAAUUUUAAGAAUCAGUUUUAUACUUAAUAUAAUCCACAUAUAUCCUCGUAAAUAUUAUAAAAAUUUAAAAUUAUUCUUAUUUAUUUAGGAUAUAAAAUUAUUAAAUUCAAACAUAUUAUUAUUAUUAUUAUUAUUGUUAUUAUUAUUAUUAUUAUUAUAAAUUCACACACGCACACACAUACUUAUAAAUUUAUAAAUAAACUUUAUUUAACAUUUUGUUCACUUAAAUCAUUUAUAUUCUUAUAGCAGUUUAACAUUAUGAUUUACCAAACACAGAUAAUUAUUUUUAAAAUCCAUAAUAUUUUUUAAAAUAAAUUUUAAUAAAUGUUUAACUUAUUAUUCUGACAACUGAUUUUUUUUGUAAGGUAUAACCAUUAAUAAUAAAUAUUUUAAAAGUUACAGUAUCCCCAAAUUGGCCCUUACUAAUACUCUGCGUUGCCAACUAAAUACUAAUUGUAACAUUAAACAUCUGGAAUAUUUUUCUCUAACGAAACAACACAAUUAAUUUCCCUCUAAAAAAGAAAAAGAAAAAGAAAAAAUAAACUACCAACCCCACCCCUUUAGACAGCAGAGUUUUAGCUGAGGCGGCUUGCUUGCAUAAGCAUUAAGGCUGCUCUUCACCAACCAUUGAACAUUCUUUCCAUUUGAUUGUUACACUUUACUUCGCCAUCUCAUGUCCAUGUACAUUGUUUUGAAAUGAAGACUUUGCGUACAACUAAUCUUUUUCAAUUCAUAAUAAAAACUCUUUUAAUUAGUUAAUAGCUAUAGCUUCCAAUUGAGACUAUAUAUAAAAAUCCAUAUUGACUGACCAAACCAAUAAUUUUUAAUUGGCUUGAGCAUUGUCUUACUUACUUCAAAAUCGUCACUCUCUUUGAAAAGAACAUGAGAGAGUUCACCUCCAUCUCAACCCUUAACCCUAUAUCUCAGUCAAGAGAUUAUUCAUGGAAAAUUCAGAAAAAAGAAAUGUUGCAAUAUUUACGAAACUCACGUCACGUGAGGUAAGAUAAAUUAUUCCUUUCUGCUUUAAUUCAUGUACAUAAUCAUGAGAAUAACUUUAAUUAUAGUUUAUUUCUCCGUUUUAAGAUUUUUCCUUUUUUUUUUUUAAUUAAUUAAUUAUAGUUCAUUCAUUAAUCCCAUAAGAAAUUAACACCUUUGCCGGUAAAGUCACACAUACAACAAUAUUUUAGAACAAAAGGGAAGAUCAUGCACGAUCAUGAUGUUUUAUUAUAUCUCUAGCAAUAUAAUUAUCUUAUAAUUAAUUAAAAACAAAACAGGUAAUUAAGCCAAAGUGGAUGGCAUGCAUCAAUCAUCAUGCAGAACACCUCCCCUUGUUUUAAAUAUAAAUAAAAGAAAUUUGUGCCCAGAAGACUUAAUUAAUACUUCUCGUUUCUGAAGUGCUCACAUGAUAUAUAGUCGGACGCAUUAUAUUUAAUUUCAUGAAUUAAUCGUACGGUUGUAUUUUGAGAGAGAGAGAGAGAGAGAGAGUGACUGAGUAAGAUAUGGCUUAAUUUAACCAAAUCUACGUAUAAAAUUUUAAAAUGAAUUUUUGAGUUUUAACUUAGGAAUUGUCUAUGAAUAAAAGUGUUAAUCAAAUAUUUCGUGUAAAAACAGUCAGCUGUAACAUUUUCGGUUGCUUUAACAAAACUGUAUAUUUCUGUAAUUUCCUAUAUGGGCCAAAAGGAACAUUUUUCUCAGAAAUUAAAAACUUAUGGUGAAAAAGAUAAGAAAACCAACAGGUUCAAAGGUGCGAGUAAACUGGGCUCUGGUGCGCCCAACUCCCUCUUUUGAUUUUGAGACUCUAUUGACCAUUGAGUUUGAGGCCCCAACGGCCCAGUUUAAAACUGUUAUGAAAAGAAAAAAAAUAUAACUAUAAAAUUAAAAUUAAUAAUGUUUGAUAAAUAUAAUUUUUAAAUAAUAAUUUGACAAAAAUAAUAUAGGGUCUUGUGUAUAUUUUUAUUUGGCAUUUCAAUUAAUCUGCUUAUAUAUAUAUAUAUAUAAGUUAAUCUAUAUUUCUUGCAAGAAGAUAGUAUUUCUUUAAUUAAAGUCAUAACUAAUAUAUAAAUUAUCAACUAACCAUCAAACAUUUAUCUCAUUUUAUCUCCACCACGAUCAUCACCAUUCAUCCUGUCACGAUCUUUAUGUAACUACAAUUAUUUUUUCUUUAAUAAUGUCAACCCACCAACCCCAUAACAAUAUCUCCAAACAUCUCAUCUCAAAAUUCCUAAUAACAUAAGUGUUUAUGUAUGAAAGAAAAUGUGAAAUAUAUAAUCAAAAAGUAGUUUAAUAAUAUAAUGUUUAAAAAUUAUGGUAAAAAUAAGUGAGAGUUUGGCAUGGCAAGUUAAUAAAAAGAUAAAAGCUCGGACACUUGAUGCAUCAAAGUAGCAAUGUCUGUCCAUCAUUAUCAUCAUGCGGGUUUAGGUGCUUCUCAUGAUAGCAUUAGCUGGUAAGACCAUCAUGCAUCGUACUUUCAUUGUUAUACAUUUUGAAGGUAAGAAUGGUUAUGUUACGUCCCUCCGAUUAGGUGUAUUUUUCUUCUUCUUCUUCUUCUUUUUCUUCUUCUUGUACGUAAUAAUUUCUCUUUCUUCCAUGAAGAUUUCUUUCUCUCUUUCUUUUUUUUUUUUUUAUUAUAAAUAAAAUGAUAAGAACUAAUUUCCUUACUAAUUGGUAGGGUCGUUUAAUGGUUCAGAUCCAUUAGAUUUUGUCAAAUUCAAGUCCAAUCCAUCAUAUAUUCCAUUUUAUAUUCCGGAUCCGAUCACUAAUAGAAAUCCAUUAUAAUUUAAAACAAUAAAACGUCGAAUCCAAUUUAAUUCGAUAUGAUCAAUCCAAUUAAAAUAAAAAUUUACAAAUAAAAAUCAUUAGUUGCUCUCUCCAGUUAUAAUUCUUAACAAUUAAAAAAAAUACAAAAUAUCAACUCCUUUAAUAUUUCAUGAUUCAUGUACUUUAUUAUCAUAUGGUUGGAAAAAAAAGUUGAAAUUUGAAUAUUAAAAGCAAAUGUUGGUUGCGACCUGCUGUUUGUAUUCUAUAUUGUUAUAGUAUAUUUAUAGUUAUUUUUUUAGCAAGUUAAAUAUAAAAGUGACAUAUAGUUUUUUUUUAUAAAAAAAAAUAAAUAAAGAAAAUAAAAAAUUAAUUGGUUGGAUUGGUUUAUAUUGGAUUUGAACAUAUAGAUCCAUAGACCAAUCUAAUAACAUUAUAUUUUUUAUUUUGCAAUCUUAUCCAAUCCAAUCAAAAUGUCAAUAUGACAAAAGUUGGAUUGGUUUUGAUCAGAUCGAUUGGUUUGAUUGGAUUGAAUUGAAUUAGAUCUUGAACAUCCUACCAAUUAGACUUUCCGUGAUUUUUUUUUUUCCAAAUUUAAUAAAGAGACUUCCCAUGAAUGUUAAAUGCAGUUUUAUUGAUGAAUUCUGCAAUUUUAAGAAAUGUUUGAUACACGAAUAAUGCAUCUCAUCAACCAAGUAACUGCGUCCCCUGCAGCAGCCGCGGCUUCAACUGGAAUACUGCAGCCACACCGGUCUUGAGACUCAACAUUCGGCCGAAACUCAAGCAAAAGUUGAACAAUAUCAGGCCUGCUUUGAGCUAUAGCAAUAUGAAGCAAUGUUUGUCCCUGCGCACCAGCAGAAUCAGCUGGGUGGGUUCCAAGCAGGGUCACUCUGUUCAAGAACCUCUCUUAUCUCAUCCAUUUCACCAUCCUUAACUAGCUGAACCACAACAUGGGACCCAACAAACAUGAUCUUGAUUCCUAUUGAUGAACGCUGGCUUCUUCCUUCUUGUGAACCAGUCACCAGGAACCGAAUCAAGCAUCAAUGUUGCAUCUUUAAUUGCAGCUGCAGGAACGACAACGCUAUGCAAGAGGAAGGAAUCAUCACAGUGAGGGAAAGUAUGAAGGAGAACUGAUCCUGGAGGAAGAUGAUACGCAAUCUCUAUGCUUACUGUUCCGAGUGGUUGCAUUGACCUGAAUAGUUCGAUCUAUUUCUCGUGUAUCUACUUGCGCUGCACUUUCACUCGAAGAACCUACAAAAUUAUUCAUAACCCGGCAUAAAAAAGACGUAAAGUUUUCAGCGCGAGCAUGGUAACUUCAAAACCCGUUUCAUACCUAUCAUAUUUCAUUCGUCCCGCACCCUCAUUUAAAAGACUAGAGCUUAUAAAAACUAGAAGUACCUUACCCAGAACAUAAAAGCAGACAAAACCCAGUCGAGUAUAAAUAUAACGUUGAAUAACACCUACCAUUUACCAUUUCAUUCAAGAACACCACACAAUUAACGAAACCAACAUCGGUAUGUUUUCAGCCGUUGUACUUUCAACUUAAUUUUGAAAGCGCGGCAGCUAAAGCCUAAACUGUUGUUUGAUAAAAGUCCACCCACUGACUGCUACCUGGCGGCUACCGAUUCCAUUCAAUAGCAGUCAUAAAAUAAAAAGUACAAAACAAACCUAUGUACAAAAAAGGCAAUGAAGCAGCCAUGGAUUCAGUUAUUUGCAUGUUUGGGAUUGUGGUUGAUUCCAAAUUGAGAAUAUACUGCGAAAUUAUGUUUGAUAAGCAUUUAUCUGAUGAUUGCUACUUUAUUGAGUGCCUGUUUGGUAUGGCUUAUUUAAAAGCCAUAAGUGCUUAUUUAAUCGUAUAAGCACUUUUUUAAAAUUUUUAUGGUGUUUGGUUAUUUUUUUAGUAGAGUUUUUUUAGCUUAAAUAAGCUAAUUUACCUCUACUAGCAAAAGCCCAAAAUUUGAGCUUUUGGGAGUAGAGGUUAAAGAGCUUAUCUAAAAAAUAUAUAAUAAAAAAAAUAUCAUACAGUUUAAUGAUUCAAAAGUGUUUUUUUUAUUGACAACCAAACACCCAAUGACUUUUUGUCCAAAAACUCUAUUGGUAUAAGCUCUACUGCUAUAAGCUCUAUUGUUAUAAGCUCUAUUUAAUAAGCUGUACCAAACGGAGCCUAAAGCAUUCAUUUUUUUUUUUCGCGUUUGGCCUCUUCACUUUUUAAAAAAUUUUAUGGUGUUUGGUUAUUUUUUUAGUAGAGUUUUUUUAGCUUAAAUAAGCUAAUUUACCUCUACUAGCAAAAGCCCAAAAUUUGAGCUUUUGGGAGUAGAGGUUAAAGAGCUUAUCUAAAAAAUAUAUAAUAAAAAAAAUAUCAUACAGUUUAAUGAUUCAAAAGUGUUUUUUUUAUUGACAACCAAACACCCAAUGACUUUUUGUCCAAAAACUCUAUUGGUAUAAGCUCUAUUGUUAUAAGCUCUAUUUAAUAAGCUGUACCAAACGGAGCCUGAGUCUUCAAAGAAAAACUCAAUCAACUAAUGCUCGAUUUUUUUUUUUAAAUGACAAAUCAAAAAGUAUUUUGGAGUAGAUUCUCAAAAGAGUGAUUAUUUGAUAAUCCACCAUAAUCCCACUUAGUUAUCAGAAAUAAAUUAAAAUCCGACGAAUGUUACUUAAGCCAAACAGCAUUAUUUUAUUUUGACCACAAGGACCACAACCCUCAAGCUGUCAAGCAACCGUUACCGUUAACGACCAAUCUUUCACCUCUCCGAAUCUUUGCAAGUCACUAUCAAGCAACCGUUACUAAUAUUUAAUCAAUUAUUAGGAUUAUUGGAUUUCUCAAAUACCUUAUGUACUUUGGUUCACUUUCUACUAAAAUAAAUAUUACAGGAGCUUUCAAAGUCUAGGCUAAGGUUGUUGUAAACAUAGAGAGAUUCAGAGAUAUAACAGCUUGUAAUUACAUACCACAAAGCAUAACUUUGUUCGAAUGAUAAUGAUCAUAAUCCAGAUUAUAGACGUAGAGAGAGGAGAAGUCGUACUUGAGGGGCAAAACGCGGCGUUUUGGCUCGUGGAUGAGGUGCUGCUCCUGAUCGUCGUAGAUUGAAGGGAGGAGAGGUCGGUCGAGGAAGUUUAGGAGACGGUGGAGGCUGAAUUGGUGAAUUUCGAUGAAGACUGACGAAUCCAAUGGGGCUUGAGGGUUUGAUUUGCAAAGAUGAAAGAUAAGAGCAUUGUUUUGGUUUCUGUGCAAAAAAAAAAAAAAAAAACAUGACAAGCGUUGUUUUGGUUUUGGUUCUAAAAAGAUGAAAAUUUGACUGCAAUGGAUCCAUACGCAGUCGGUGUCAAAUAAGAGGAGAAACAAAUAUGUUAAUCACUCGCUCAAUCACUCAUGCGAAGUGCCUUUUUUUUCGUUGCUUUGGCUUCUGAGAAAUAUAUGCAUCAGAUAUUACAACUCUCGAGGAUAAUGCAUUUUGUUCCGGUUUUGACUGAUAUUUAGUGGCAUUUGAUAAACUGAUACCUCAGAACCUGGUAGAGAGUUUAUUAAAUACAAAGAGAACAAAAAUAUAUGACUAUAUAAGCUUUUACACGGUUGAAGAUCCGGUCAAAUUGGCUUUAGUUAGCAAGAUCAUUUAAAACUUUCAAAAAACGAAUGGUAUCAAAAAGCUCUGAGAAAAAGCGGAAAAAAGGCACCACAAAGAUCUUGCAAUUAUUAUCACAGCUUGAUAAGACAUGGAAAUGUAUCUUACAAAUUGGCCUUCCAAGCAUCAAAGAAUUGGGUGGCGACAACUCCCAUUCCUAGCUGCUACCGUGGCCAGUCCCUUCUAACUAAAAUGGGACAGGACCAAAAGCAAGGUCUCUCCCACUCUCCUUAUGUAUAUAAAAUUCCCUACAUUCGAAUAAAACUACAGAAAAAGAUUUGCACAUCAUCUUCUUUCACCUUAUUUUGCAAUCUUCAAGAGUUUGGAAGAUUUCAAAGCACUUGUUAGAAUGUAGCACUCCAUUAAGCAUUCUCACCUUCCCCACACCCCAAUGGACCUCCUUAAUCCUAUCGGCAGACCUACAAAUUCUGCUGCAACUCCAAUCAAAUAAAGCAACACAAUUGUUGCCUGCCUAAGCCUUCCACUCACAGCCUGCAAUGACAAGUUCAUGAUACAAAAUCAGAAACAUUAAUAAACAAAAAGAUAUUACCAUUACUUGCAGAGGGGGAUUUGUUGCAAUUAGUAAAUGCCAUACUUAUCACUUUCAUUGCAGAUAUCAUCAUCAUCAUAAUACUAGCAAUCCAGCACUAAUAGUCAGAAUAAUAAUAAUAGUAGCAUGAAUAAAGAAUUUCUGCAGAGUAAGCUCUAAAGAUGCCGAAAGUGUCAUCUAUUAUGUUAAUAAUAAAAAAGUCUAUCAAGAAUUCAAGGAAAGAAAACUCAUUAACAAAGAACUAAACUUUUUAAUAAUGUUUAAUAAACUACGUACCUAUGAUUUUCUAUUAUUAACAUAAAUGACACUACGUACAACUGAUUUUCGCUUUCUAAUGUUUCAAAUCAUACCGAGAAAUAUAACAAUUACCAAGUCAGUAAGUAGCACAAUUACUUAAUAAGACUUUGACUUGUCUAACCCAAAAUUGUACCCAAUUCUAUACUCUACCAUGAAAAGCUUAUGAAGCCGAACUUACUUUGACCAAACAGUACUAUUAGCUCAGUUAAAGGAAACCACAAUUGAACAAAGUUCAGCUGAAAUAACUGAACUAAAAAAACUUGAUAAAAUUAAAAGUAACUUAUAACAGUUUAGUAAAGAAGCAUACAAAACAUGAAGAUAAAUAAACAUAGGUCUAUUUUCUUGACACUACCAGGUCCUUUCCUUUUUUUUUUUUCAGAUAAGAUCUCGAUACUACCAAGUUUUGGAUUCAAAAUCACCAUAUUACAAUAAUAGUUGUGAUUCAUGGGAUACAAUAUGUAGCAGCUUAUAUGUCGGCAAUUAUAGUCAAAGAUGGUUGUCAAACAUCAUCGCAAAUCAAGAAGCUAAUAAAGACCAUGUCACACUACAUUAACAUAUAUCAGUUCUUUGAUACAAAGAUAUUGAAUGUUAUACAUUUCUAAUCCCAAGUCCUGAAAUACAAAACAAAAGUUCACUUCACACAGUCAUAAAGCUAGACUGCUAGAUAAAUGGACAAUAGGCAUUGGAUAUGGGUCAAUAAACUAUUAAGCUAAUUAAUGCACACGAAGGAAUCCGUUAGAGCUAGUAAAAUAGCCCUUACCAGAGAACUCGCAGAAGCAUUCAAUUUCCUCAAAGGAGAUAACUUACAACAUAAACAUUUUGAUAAGCAGCAACACACAUAAAAUAGCUUCACUCACUAGCAACAGAGCAACUUCUUCAACACAUUAAUAAAUCCAUUUUCAUUUUUAAACAACAAAAUAAUGCCCAGUUUCUCCAGCACAAAUAGGGUAAGCAGUAAUAGAAAAACAUGAUACAUAGGAAUUACCGGCCUCAAGAAAUCUCCAAGCUUUCUGUCCUCUGCUUCAAUUGCUCAAUCAAGAAUGCCCCAGACGUUGCGCUAGCGUGGUGGUGGAGCGUCGCGAAGCGUGUGGCGGCGGUGUCGGCGAAGGCAGGUCAUGAAGAUAGUUGGUGUCGCGCAGCGAAGGCAGUGCAGCUGGUGUCAUGCGGCGAAGGCAAAUCGCGUGGUGGUGGAGUUGGGGUCGCGCGGCAGUGGCGGUGCGGUGCUGAGGCAUAAUAGUGGCGGUGGCGUUGUGCGACAGUGGCAGUGUGGAGGCAGAUUGCGUGGAGCUGGCGGUGUUGAGGCAGAUCGCGUGGAGGCAGAUGCCGCGGUGGUGGAGUUGCUGUCGCGAUCAACGCCUGUGAAAGGGAAUGAAAGUGAAGGAGAUACCUACAAAAGAAAGAACGAGUGAAAUUUUUUUUUUUGUUCAAGGGUUUCAAACCCACAUAAACCCGACUCUCACACGGGUUCAGUAAGUUUAUGCGGGUUUGACUGCAUUACAAAUUGGUAUGACCACAACAACAGUACAAUGAUUGGUAAUUACCAAACAUGCUAUUUAUGUUGGUAUUAAAUUAAUUUAAUACAAUGAGGAGUGGUAAUAUCAUACAAUGAGGACUGUUAAAUAUGGUGUGUUUAAUAUGUUGUAUUGUAUUAUAUUAUUUUAAUACAAAUAUAUUAUAUUAUCUUGUAUUAUAAUAUAAAAUAAUGAAAAAUAUCGAAUUUCAAUAUAUAAAAAAAAAAUAAAUAUAUUUUGUUAUAUUCGAUCUGCUGUACGGCCAAGGCGGAUGUACGGUACAGCAGAUAAGAAUUUAAAUACAUACACUUAUAAUACAACUUAGUUUUUCCACAUUGUCGAGGGAUCAAAACAACCCAUCAUUGGAGUCCAAUAAGUUAUGUGGCGACACAAAAAAGUAAUUCUAUAUUUUUUACGUCAUAAAUAUGUAAAAAAAAUUGUAUUAUAUCUUAUUAUUAUUAGUUUUUUUUCUUCAGUUUUGACAAGUAUAGUUUUCUUGUUGAGUGGCUCAACAAGGCUGGUUACAAUUUCGAAAUAAUGUUCCAUCUGUAUCUGUUUUCCUUUUGUUUUUGAUUUUGUAGUAUAGUUAAUUUGUACGAAUUUGUUGCCUGGUUGGUUUUUAUGCUGAAAAGUCAGUUCAUUGGAAAUGACAGAAAAUUGUUUUUCUUUUUCAUUUUUACAGAAAGAGAUUUGCAACGUUAUAAAAGUAAGAGAUCCUAAGAGAUCCCUGAAUCAUAUUAAAUAUUAAACUUAAGAUACAGUCAAGGCUUUUAUUAUGUUACUAAUCAUGUAACGAAUAUAAUUAUGUAGCAGUCGUUAAAUACAAAUUUAACAGUUAUAAAAAUAACAUGAUUUUAUUAUCUUAUAUUUCUAUAAUCGUUGAAUUUUUAUCUGCUGUACCGUACAUCCGCCUUGGCCGUACAGCAGUAUUGAAUUUUAAAAAUUUAAUAUUAUUUUUUUAAUAUAAAUAUUAAAAAAUAUCAUAAUUCUUCAUAGAAAUCGAAGUUCAUGGCAUUAAAUUUUUAACGCCGCAUACAUAAUAAAAAAUUUGAUUCUCUAGUGCCAAUAUAAUAGAAUACAUAAAAACGAGACUGAGAAACUACGAAUAAAGCUCAUCAUCAAGGACUCCACAACAUUAUAAGAAGUACUAUGUAACAUUUGCCAAAUUACAACACCACAUCAAGACAUAUCACAAUGUAAAAUUUUUCCUAGAGAUUUGGUAAUUGAAAAACACAAUUCAAGUUGAAAACUGAUAGUCGACUUGAAAAGUUUUAACAUAUCCCAUAAAAGAAAUGUGCCAUGCCAAAAAUCCUAACCCUUGGCUCUUUGACGAUAAGAAAAUAUUGAAAAUUCCAAAGUACAGUGCAAUGGGAGAAAGAAUGCCUAUAAAGCUAGUAAAGAUAUUCUUAAACUACUAUUGGGAUGUUGGGCUGGUUGGUAGCAAAACCCAAACCCUGCUGCUGAUUUCCGAUACCACCAUCUUGGAUAAGCCGCUCUCCCUCCUCUUCCUAACUCCUAAGCCCAAUAUCUUUCCAAAACCUUCACAACCCACUCAUAAAUCUCAUUGUUGUCGUGGAUAUGCAAAUUCUCAAUCUUUUCUACUCCAUCACACUCAUCAAUCAUUUGGGUAUAAACAUUAACCCAAUUAUCCAUUCCUAUUUCCUUGUUAACCUCACCCACCUUGAAAAUGUUCUCAAGACCCUAUAGACAAACUGUGACGAUCCUUUGGUCCAGACAAACCAGAAGAUCACAGAGCGGUUUGAUGCAACCUUGGCUCACCAGGAAUCUGCAGGACCAUGGUACCAUAAGUGAUUCUAUCACAUGAACAUCAUUAGAUUAAAAAAAGAAAAAAAAAAGAAACAUCUAUCGUAUGAACAUUGCUGAGUGAAUAAAAGAAACAUACUGAAUAUGUUCAUGAGAUCCUCCAUAUGUGGCAUUUAAGACAGGCCAUGCAGCCUCCUUGAUUUCAAGUUCUGCAUGUUGAAGAAGAGGUGCACAAAAGGAAGGAUAAGGAAGGAUGAUAUUGGCCUCCAUAACAGCCUGUUGAACAAAAAUUCGACAAAUUAUAAUUAUGAGUAUAUUUAAGUAGCAAUUUUGUCAGAAUUAACUAGACUUGACUAUUGAGGAAGUCACAUUCAAAAAUAGAAAAGACGAGCAAGCAAUUGUAUUCAUGCUAUCGGGACCAAAAUACUAUGAUGCAAGCAAGAAAGAAAAACAUACAUACAUAUAAAACACUAUCUUUGAGUUGGGUAUUUUCUUUCAAUUUUGAUAAUGGCAACUUUGGAUUCUUCUGCUGAAUUACCACCACCACCACACCAUUGUAGUUUCACAUACUAAGAAAAGGCAGGUUCAGCUCCCGUGCAUGCCCAUAAGAAUAUGAUGUAUUAAUUAGAAGUAAAAUUAAUCUGUUCAAUUAAGUUCUCUCAUAUAUUUGUGUGCGUGUGUGUGUUAAUUAGUUUGCUUUCAAAUCUUUUCUCCCUUCUUAAUGAUAUAUAUUUUAAGCAUGAUAUCAACCACGAUGAAUUUAUUAGCCGAUUUUUAAUUAUACAUUCAGCAUGAUAUCACAAACCAAGAGCUUAAGUUAGCCUAAUUCUUCAUAAAUCUAAUAAUUGCAAUCAAUAAUAAUGCUGAAAAUACGAGUUUGAAUUAAGCUAGCAACUGGUUCUUAAAUUAUGCAAUAUGUAAUCAUAGGUUUACUUAAAGAUUAAAGCAUUUCUGCAAUCCAUUGUGCAAAAAGAUUAAAAAAAAAAAAAAUAGUUGCCAAAUUUUAUCUAAAUAAAAAUUCCUUUAGUGGUUAGUACUUGUGAAUUAUAGAAAUUAUUAUUAGUACUUGCUCAGCGCUUUUUAGAUUUGUACAGGUAGAUUACGCCAUUUCAAACCCGACCAUCCAUUUAGACAUACAAAUCCCCCCAAUUCCCUGUCCUCCGCCUUUACGCGACUCUCCACUGUAUGUGCCAACUAAUUAAUUUUUUAAUUACUUGUUUAACUAAUUAAUUCAUUUUCUCAAAAGCAAGAUUAAUCUAUUUGUUCAAAUCUGAAGGAGAUUAAGUUAAUUGAUUUUAUUGUAUGUAAAAAUAUACAAAGAACUCAUGAAGCCAACUAGAAAAAAAAAAAAAGACAAAAAAAAAAUCAAACCCAGAAAUAAAAAGACAUGCUUCGACAGAAAAUUAAUGAAAAUUAUACUGAUUGUGGUUCAAUUUGAUCAAACCCAAAUAAUAACCGGUUUGAUUGAUGACUCAGCGGCAAAGUGCAGGCGCAUCAGUGGUUGCACAGAUGAGUGUUCUCGUGCGGCACGACAAAGCAAUUGUCGGCGAUUGUGAUUGGUGAUGACAUCGAGCGAUGGGGGUAAUGGCAUCGGUCGUGACUUUGUGAUGGAGAAACGAAUGUUAGAUUCGUUCGAAGAUUCGUGUUUUGAUUGAAUAACAAAGAGAGAUUUUAUGAGUUUUAAUUAUCUAAUACGAUACCGCAUAAACCCGACUCGUACGUGGGUUUAUUUUAUGCGGGUUUCGGUGUACUAAAGCAGUAAAUUUAUGUGGUGCAAUUCAAACUGAUUUCACCGCCAAAAGAUCGUGUAAAUUUAAUAUUAUACAGGGUUUUAAUACUAUGUAAUCCAAUACACCAAACAUGCCCUUAAAAACGGAUAGCAAUCCGGGGCCUUUAAAAACGGAAAAUACAAGCAGAGAAAAAGAAAAGCCAAUUGUUCAAAAGUGCCUAAUAUGCCCACGGAAAAUUUUCGUCACGACCCACAGUUACUCGAAUAGGUAAUAAGACAGGAAUGCCUUUGUUUGUUCGAAUAUAGAAGCACAAUGGCUCAGAAAGGAUCCCUCCAAUCUCCUUGGCACUGUCAGCUGGGUGCGGAGUAGCUUGGUGGCAGCAACCAUGUUUGAGAGGGCUGGCUUCACCUCAGUGUACUUGCGAGUCUUGAGACCACAGUCAGGGUUAACCCACAAAAUGUUGGUUUCUAGCACAGUACGCAUCUCGUAGAUUCUGUCAACAAUUUCUUCGGUUGAUGGUAUUCUUGGAGAGUGGAUGUCAUAGACGCCAGGGCCAAUUGCAGCAUCAUACUGGACUCCCUCACGGAAGACUGACAGGAGAUUCUCAUUAGAACGAGAGUUCUCAAUGGUGAUCACAUCAGCAUCCAUGUCGAUAAUUGAGUGGAUAAUGUCGUUGAAGUUGGAGUAGCACAUGUGGGUGUGGAUCUGUCAAUCAAUAAACAAUAGAAUGAGAUACAAAAUCAACAGCUAAAUUAAAGAGAUGAGAUUGGAGAUUAAAAGGGUAACUGACCUGGGUAGUGUCCUGGAUGCCACAGUUGGUGAUUCUGAAGGAGUGGACUGCCCAGUCCAAGUAGAAAGCAUGCUCAGAUUUCCUGAGAGGCAAUCCUUCCCUCAAGGCAGCCUCAUCAAUUUGAAUAACGUUAAUGCCUGCCUUCUCAAGAUCCUCGACUUCGUCCUUGAUGGCCAAAGCAAUCUGGUAGCAGGUUUCAUGUCUGCAAAAUUGGCAGCGAUUGAUGUUAAACAAUGUUUCCAUUCCAAAAGGUUAACCAAUAGUGAACCAGUUCUCAUUUAUAUACCUGGGCUGGUCAUUUCUGACAAAGGACCAGUUGAGAAUGGUGACAGGGCCAGUAAGCAUUCCCUUCAUUGGGCGAGCAGUCAUGCUCUGAGCCCAGGAGGACCAGAAGACGGUCAUAGCCUUGGGACGGCUCACAUCACCAUAGAUGAUGGGUGGCUUCACACAGCGAGAUCCAUAGGAUUGCACCCACCCAUUGGCAGUGAAGGCGAAACCUGAUAACUGCUCUCCAAAGUACUCAACCAUGUCGUUUCUCUACAAAAACAAAUGUCCGAAUUCAAUUUGAGAUCCAGCAUACUUCGUAUGCAAUUAGAAAUGCAGAAACAAAAAUGUAUAAAAUUUUAUGUAAUUCAAAACCAGGAGACAUUGCUUUGCUUCCAUUGGGCAUUGCGAGACUCACCUCAGGCUCUCCAUGGACAAGGACAUCAAUAUCAAGCUCUUCUUGGAGUUUGACAACCUUGUUGAUUUCCUCCUUGAUGGAAGCAACAUAUUCUUCCUCAGAAAUCCUAAAAAGGACAAAUAGUCACGGCACAGUUAAUACAGUAGUUGCAGUAAUUUCACACAUGGCAUUGAAUGAAGAAACACCUCAGAUUGACUCACUUCUUAGCCUUGUAUUCACGGCGGACUCUCCUAAGUUCAAUGGUUUGUGGGAAGGAUCCAAUUGUGGUGGUUGGGAGGAUUGGAAGAUUGAGCUUCUUCUGUUGAGCAUCUAAUCUAGCACUAACGUUUGUAGCACGUCUGUGGUCUGAUCCCCUCAAAGCAGCAGCCUAAUAGACCAAGAGGAAGGAAUCACUGUUAGCAAAAAAGGAAAUUCUAAGGGACAGCCACAUCAUAAAAAUGGAAAACAAAUCAAUCAUGCCACUUACAGCCUUUUGAACUGCCUCAUUGGUCACUCUCGGGGAGGACUUUCUUGAAGCCUGAGCUGCAGCAUUGGCAGAGAAGAAUCCCUGGAAACAAAUGAUAAGGAGAACCAAAGUUAGUCUCAUUCAUAUCAUUUUAAAAAGAAGAUACAUAUGCAAUUAGUGGGCUGAUUGUGAGAGAAAAAGUCCCCAAAACUUUAAUCAAACACCAAAUGCCCAAGUUGCCAAAUGAUGUUUAAUUCGGAAAAAUAUAUUUAAAAACAUUCAAAUAUAAUUUCCCCUUCUAAAUUUUCAUUUUCAACAACAUAUUUUACAAGCCAAGCUCAACGUCAGGCCAAGAUUUUGUGCUCCUAUAAUUAUAUUUUACCAUAAAACUAGGUCCUUGAAAGGCUAAGAUUUUCUGACUCUUGUGACUAGUCAAAGCCUAAGAUUCUUUCAAUUCAUCCGUAGUAAAAGUAUACCUCAUCCUUUUGGCCAGCCAAAGCCUUGGCCAAUGCAUUGACUUCAACAACUUUCUGGGCAGCAAAUGCCAGCCAUGACUUGAUUUCGUCGUCGAGUUUGUUCUCAUUAACAAGAUCAACAGCAGUGUGAAGAAGUGAGCAGGAGGUGGAGACCACAAGCUUGUCUGCAAAGAAAAGUAAUAAAUUAUACAACAAAUCCCAUAAUAGAAUAAGAAAUAUUUAUCACAAAGAAAAAUGCAAGCAAAGGAUGUAUACCUUUGCCAACAACACCCUCAAGCCCCCGGAGAACACUAAGAGAAGCAGCAAGAUCAUUGGCCCAAAUGUUCCUUCCAUCAACCACUCCAGCAAAGAGGUACUUGCCAGCAGGGAAUCCACUCUUGAUCAAUUCAAGGGUCUUGGUUCCACGAACCAAAUCAAAUCCAUAAGCGGUGACACCCUUCAAAGAAGUGAGGGUCUGGAAUGCCUCAGCUGGAACAUCAGCAAAGUAGGUCUCAACAAGAACAUUCAAGCCAGACAGAGUUGACUCUAGUUCCGCGUAAGCCUCACUGAAUGCUUGCAAUUUGUGUGAGUCAAGAUCCGUAACAAGCAAUGGCUCAUCAAACUGAAUCCAGGAAGCACCAGCAGCCUUAAGCUCAGAAACAACUUCCCUGCAGAAGUGUUAAUUGGUACGACACGGAUUAAUGAUGCCACACGAUACACACACACACACACACACACACACACACACACACACACACACACACACACACACACACACACACACACACACACACACACACACACACACACACACACACACACACACACACACACAGACAGAGUUAUUUAGCACAUACACGUUUAUAAAUCUGUAAAUAGGUGAUAAUUCUUACUUGUAGAUCGGAAGGAUUUUGGGAAGAAGAGAGAGAACAGAAAAGGUCUUCUCAACCCCCCAGGCAGGCUUAGACAGCAACAAGUAUGACACAGGGCCAAUAAGCACUGGGACAGUUUCAACUCCAUGCUGCAGCAUUAGACAAGUGGUAGAUAUUAGCAUCUCACAAACUUGAUCUGACUGAUAGAAAGUUACAAGCAAGUUAAGAAUAUGUUUGAUGAAAUUUCAAUGAAAAAUCUUCAGGGUCCACAACAUGUUGACUAUACCCUUUUUAAGUAAUUUAUCUUAAGACUAUUUUGCAAACAGUAUUGCUUCCCUUUACAGAUCAAAUAAAUCAUACAACAUCUGAACGCAUUUCCUGAGCCAAAUAUAAGUUCAAAGCUCUAUAAUAAAUGUCAAUGACUCUAUAGUAAAUUCCAUCACAUUCUGAGCUAUGGAUGAGCAUAUCAUAUGCCAAUUUCAAGUUGAACGUAACCCAAUUUCAACAUAUUGUAGAUUCAAGUAUCAAACGAAAAAAAAAAUAUUGUAAAUAUAGACAGAACUGAGAACAAACACUCACCCCCUUAGCCUCCUUGUACUCAGUCACAGCCUUGUGGGAAGCGUAGGAGAACUUAACAUCGGGUCCCAAUUCAGGAACAAUGAAAUGACUGCAUCAACACGAAGCCAAACACACGUCAGCAUUCAGUACAAAACCAUUACACCAUAACUAACUUGAAAUGCCGCUCUUCCAAGUAGUGAAUACUUACUAGUUGGUGUCGAACCACUUGGUCAUUUCCAUUGCGAGAACAGAGGCGUUUCCUCUGGCCAUGGAGAAGUAAACAUCGAAUCCAAUCUCGCCGCCGUUCCAGUUAAACCUCGGGGGCACGGCACCGAGCAUUGCGGUGGUGUCGAGCACUUGGUCGUAGUAGGAGAAAGUGUUGCUGGGAAUGUAUUUGAUCCCGGCCUCGGACAUCUGUUUCCAGAUGGAGGAUCUGAGAUCAGCGGACACCUUUUGCAAAUCCUCGGCGCUGCUCUUGCCAUCCCAGAAGGAUUCCAACGCGAACUUGAGCUCCCUCUUGGGGCCCAUGCGUGGGUAACCAACGAUGUGAGAUGCCAUUUUACUGUCAUAAUCACGUCAUCAAUGAAUCGAAAAUCAGUCCCUUCCAUUAAAUCAAGAAAUUAUUAAUUCAAAUGAAUGGAUCACAUUGUAUAUAUAUGGGAUAAAUAUAAUUAUGAACAAAAGCGUCUAAUCAAUCACAAAAAGCAAGCGACUGCAUCAAAUUUAGGGAUCCGACCCGACCCGACCCGAUCUGUAAAUUCCGGUUUCAAUCGGAUUAAGAUGAAACCUCUAACCCGAUAUAGUUGGAUUUUGGCCAACUCGAUCGGAUCAGAUCGGAUCGGAUUAAACUUAGUCCAAUCCGAAAAAUUCAAAAAAUCAAAACUACAAUAAGUAUAAAUCUAAAUUUUCAAUUCAAUUUGAUCUAAUCUGAAUAUAUUCGAAUCGGAUCAAAUACUAUGCUCUGCUUAAACUUGGAUUAUAUUUUUUUCAAUUUGAUUAACCUAAAAUUCGAUUGGAUAGAUCCAAAACUGAAUUUAUCUACCCCUCAGUCAUCAAUCAAUUACAAAACCUAAAAUCCGAUUGGAUAGAUCCGAAACUGAAUUUAUCCACCCUUAAGUCAUCAAUCAAUUACAAAGGCGACUGAUGUUUAUACAAUGGACAAUUAUUAAGUUACAGCUCUUGUAAUUUACAACUUAUACAAAAAUAUGUGAAAAAUUGUGAUAGGCAGUACAGUGUCAUGAUUUUAUACAAAAAUAUGUAAACAAUUGUGAUAGACGGUAGAACCUCAUGAUUUUAUAAAAAAUACGUAAAAAGUUGGGAUAAGUAAUGGAGCCCGCAUAAUUUUUUAUCAGCUGCAAGUUGCAAGUUACAGCAACUGUAACUUAGCGACCCCGACUUCAAUGUAAAAUGAGAAAGUACUCCUCCGCAUAGUACCUGAUGCUCAAAAGUCAAAUCACACGAAAUGCAAAUAGACUUAUCAGAGCAUAAAACCUUAUAUUACUUUUUGAAAAACGAUUUGAAACAAGGGCAAAAUUACAGUGUAACCGUACUUAGUCAUUGAAUUCAGCUCACAAUUAUCAUUAUAGUUAGAUCUAAUAACUAGAUCCAACUGUAUCCACAGUUAUAUUGUAGUUAGAUCUGAUAACUAAAUCCAGAUCCAGCUGUCCCCACAAUUGUCAUUAUAGUUAGAUCUAAUAAUUAGAUUCGGCUGAUUCAGCUGUGAUGUAGUACCCUGUAGUGCCAUAACUGGACAAAGAAACAAACUGAUAUAUUUUCUUUUUUGAAACAAACUGAUACUAAUCCAAGAGUUUCAGAUGAUCGGUUUUUUUUUUUUUUUCUAUAGUCACAUCAAUAAUUAAGUACUUUCAGUCAUUUUCGAAGGAUUAAAACGAAAACUCUAAAAAAAUUCUGAGAAUGAAGAAUCCGAAAAUAGAUUCAGAAAUAGUAACACAAGUAGAGGUCAGAUUGUUUUUUGGAAAAGAUUAAUUGCAGAUCUGAUGAACUCAAGUCUAGAUCUAGCAAAAUCACGGCAGCCAAACACUAGAUCUAAGACUAACAGUCACUCACCAGUCGAUCAGAAAGUGAAAUCAAGUUCAAAAUUCUUUUUUUUUAAUAGAUCCAAAAGCUAAUAUACAUAUAUAUAUGGCAAAAUAUAUAUACCGUACCCGAGAAGGACGAGCAGAGAAAUUAAGCUUUUUUCGAGAGAACGAGAAAGAAGAGAGACGAGACUGUUAGAAAUUGCUGUCAGUUUAAUUUUUAUUUAUAGCCAAAAACCUAACCUUGUUUAGUGGUUACUGGUUACCGUCUUCGGCGGUGUUGAUCUGAGAUUUAUCAUUUUAAUUUCUUUCUCUUACUUAUUUAUUUAAUUUGGGUCCAACUACGGUGAAACUGUAGUACCGUGCUACAGUUAUUUUCAACCGUUUGAUUCACUUGGAUGGUGGGAUCCAAUAAAAUCCAAUAACUGGGUGCAACCGUAGCACGGUGCCGCAGUUGCACCACAGUUUUUCCCAUUUAUUUAUUAUGCUUUCAGUGCAGUUGGCAAAAACAUGGAGCUUACGCGCGCUUUUCUGAUGUGGCGCGUGAAUUGGAAAUGUGGUAGAUCUUUGUGGAUCCGCCGGUGCAGUGAAGAGUGAAGGAAAAAAGAGAAAAGUUAUCAUGCCAGAUCAUUUGAAGAGAGCCGCAAUUAGUAAUUACACCACAAUAUAUUUCUGAUUAUUUGCUUACUUUGAUGAUGUUUUUACUGAUUAGUAAUUGGAAUAUGUUAGAAUCUAAAUAUAGUAGAAUCAUAAUAGAGUUGAAUCAAAAUAGACUAUAAUUAGAAUGGAUAAUGGGAAUUAGAAGAAUUAUUUGCUUUAGUUGUGAGAAUCCAAAUUGGAAUGAACUAUAUUGUCGUUGAUAUGUUUACUUUAUCAUAGAAUAUGAAUGAAUUAUUACAAGUUACUAAACAGACCUUAAGUUGAUUAUUGUCAUUAUUUAUUUAUUUAUUAUUAUUAUUAUUAUUAUCAUCAUCAUCAUCAUCAAAAUUAUUAAUCUUAUUAUUAAUGUUAAUUAUAAUAAUUAAUAAUUAUAAUAGUAUUAUAAUAAUAAUAAUAAUAAAAGCAAUCAUAAAAUGAGAAUUUCAAGAUUUAAGUAGAGAUAAUAUAAUUAUUUUAGAAAAUGAGAAUUUCCAUGAGAAUGUGAACUCUAUUAAUCAUUCCCAAUUUGAAGUGGGGCCUGCCAUUUUGAUUCAAUCUCUCAUUUAAGCAAGUAAAUACGACAUUUAUUCUCAUUCCCUCAUUCCCACUCUCAGGUAGCGUUUGUUUUUUAACUUAAUGACUUAAAGUGACUUAACUUAAUUAAUUAAGUUAAUUAGAGGUGUUUAUUUUUAUAACUUAAUGAGACUUUUUAGAUAAUUUUGACUUAAUAAAAUGAGCCAAUUUUUUUUGGCUUUUUACUUAAUGGAGAAAUUUGAAUUUAGUCAAUUACUUACUAAUGUCAAAAAUAUCUAUGUUUUAUAAUUUAUUUUUCAUGUCUAUCCCAAAACUCACCCAUAGACAUUUACCCCACAUAAAAAUAUCCCUAUUUUUUCUUUCUUAUAUUAUAUACGAUAAAAUUUGAAAUUUAUGGUAUUUUAUAUAUUAAAAUUCUAAAAUAAUUAUGUAUUCACUUGAAUAUAGUUUUACUUAUAACUGUUAAAAUAUUGUGGUAUUUAAUAUAUUAUUUAUUUGACAUUAAAAUUUAAUAAGGAUACAAAUGUAAAAGUACAUAUUUUCAGUUUUUUCAGUUAAAAAAAAAGCAACUUAAUACUUAUUUUUCGAGAUUCAGACGAAAAAAUAAACAUAUUAUUCAUAUUCAGACAUUUAGAUAUAUUCAGAAUUCAAACUAAUUCAGGUCUAUUCAGAUUUUAGACAAAAAAAACAAACGCCACCUCAAUCAAUAAACACACCAUAAAUGUAGAGUUGUUACUAUUAGAAUACAUUAUAAUUCAUCACAAUUAUGAUAGGUAUAUACGUGUGUAAUAAUUUAUAUAAGAUGCUAAAUUUUGAAAAUAAUAAAAAAUCAUUUAUACAUAUUUAAAAAAAUCAUUAAUACAUUAAAAUGUGCAUCACAUAUACAUUUACAUAAUAGCAAUGACCAUAGUAUAAAAAAAACUCCUAAAAGAGAACGACUUCGUUAUUUAUGUUAUUUUAUAUAUUUUUAAUUGAUUAUUAAAAGGAUCAAUUGUUAAUUAUUAUUCUCCAAACAUAAUCACCGUUAAACAUUUAUUCAAUUUAACAAUAGGUAGAUGUUAAAUAAUAUUGGAAUAUUUAAUGAACAAUAUAAUCACUAUUGCAGUUGUUUUUUUUUUUUAGUAAUGGAUUAUUCGAAACUCAAAUUCAUUUUUUAGCCCCCUUACCUCUCUUAAAAUUCAAAUUUAAGUGACUAAACAAAUAAAACUGCUUAAAAUCUAUACGACUACAUCUUUGGGGACCAAUUAAUAUGGAUGUUUAAAUCUUGAUUUAUUAUUAAAUCUUUGAGUUUCAACCACUAAUAACAUCAUCAUCGAUUAAUGACAAAUAAAAUAAUACAUCAUCAAAACCAUUAAACACGUCCAUCAAUAUCAAAAACAAGUAAAAAGUUUAGCAUGUAUUUCAAAUAUACUUUUCAUCCCAAAAGUUGUAGAGAAAGUCUCGAUAUCAAUGUCACUAUGAGACGUAAUUUUAUAUUUAAAGUCAGCGCAACUUAAAAAUUACUAUGAAUGAAUAAUACACCAUAAAAAAAUUAUUUAUAAGUAUUUUCAUCAUGUAUUUUUAUUUAACAAUGGUGACAUUUAUUUUUUAACUUAAUGACUUAAAGUGGCUUAACUUAAUUAAUUAAGUUAAUUUUAGGUGUUUGUUUUUAUAACUUAAUAGGACAUUUUAGAUAAUUUUGACUUAAUAAAAUAGGCCAAUUUUUUUUAACUUUUUACUUAAUAGAGAAAUUUGAAUUAAGUCAGUUACUUUCUAAUGUAAAAAAAUAUUCCUACUUUAUAAUUUAUUUUUCAUGCAUAUUCAAAAACUCACCCAUAGAUAUUUACCCCACAUAAUCUCAUCUUUAUUUUCUUCCAGCCGUCAUGGAAUCCCUCCUCACUUUGCUUCUCUCCUCUAGUUCUUGAAUCUCCCUUUAAUUUCUCGCUAGGCAAAGCACUUGAAUUGGGCUUUUUUUUUUUCCUUUUCAAUUACGUUUUCCAACAUUCACUUAUAUAAUAAUCAACUAGUUGCUACUCUUUUUAGUGAUAAAAUUUGAAAUAUGGUAUUUUAUAUAUUAAAUUUUCAAAAUUAUGUAUUCACUUAAAUGUAGUUUUACUUAUAAAUAUUAAAAUAUUAUGUUAUUUAAUAUAUUAUUUAUUUGACAUUCAAAUUUAAUAAGGAUAUAAAUGUAAAAGUACAUAUUUUUAAUUUUUUAAGUUGAAAAAAUAACUUAAUAUUUAUUUUCAGAUAUUCAAAUAAAAAAUAUAUUAUUUAAAUUCAAAAAUUUAAAUCUAUUCAAAAUUUAAAGUAAUUCAGGUCUAUGCAUAUUUCAAUCAUAAAAACAAAUGCCACAUGAGUCAUUCAAUUUCUAAUUAAGAGGAUAAAAAAUAGAUUUGGACUAUCCUAAGACAAAAACAAAAAAAAAAACAAAAAUAAGAUUUCCUAAUAAGUGUACUAACGUGGUCACGCGCCUUGAGAAACGCUUGGACCUAACACACUAUUUUAAUCCGAUAUGCAAAAAAAGAAAAAAAAAAAAAAGGAAAAAUUAUGAGAUGUAUAAGUUUCUAGAGACGUGUUAAAUUUUGAUGAAACAAUGAAGAAAGUCGGUGGCCGAAGUUGGUAUGGGGCAAUGCGAAUGGUGGUUGGCCCACGUUGCCCUGUAAUUGGAGUUGUUAUAAUUUUUCUUAUAAUUAAUAGGACUUGACACAGACUGCAGCAUCAGCCGUUGGAUGUGGAGGGAGAAACUAAACAAUAGAAAACCGUAUGGUGGGAUGACGGUAGAUGUUUGUUACAGAAACUGUACCAUAGACAGGUCCUAAUUAAUAAGCUCUACGUUUUGAAACAAUAAAUAAACUCCAGAUGACCAAAAUAUCAUUUCAUACUGCUACCUAGACAUCUUGGCGAGGGUGGGUAAUGUGGGGCCCGGAGCUUGUUUGAUCGUCAAUUAUUCUCUGGUUUGGUGAAACGAAUGGACGGACGAUGGUGAUGGCUUUUAGGAGAUUAGUAUUAUUAUUAUUAUUAUUAUUAUUACAUUGAGAUCGUAAAACAAAAAAUUCAAUUAAUAAUAUAAAAUAUUUAUUUAAUUUAUUAAUUAUUAUAUAUACACAAUAAAAAAAUUUAUAUACAUAUUUAUAAAUGUGUAAAUAAAUUUCAUUCAAUAUUAUAUCCAAUUAAUCAUUUAUAUUUUUCUGCUGUACCGUACAUCCGCCUUGGCCGUACAGCAGUAAAGCUGCUGAUGCUUUAUCGCGAAUUCAUGAGGAAAAUGUGAUUGAAGAACCCAAACCAACAACUCUUUGUUUGUCGUUAGACAUUUACCCCACAUAAAAAUAUCCCUAUUUUUUCUUUCUUAUAUUAUAUACGAUAAAAUUUGAAAUUUAUGGUAUUUUAUAUAUUAAAAUUCUAAAAUAAUUAUGUAUUCACUUGAAUAUAGUUUUACUUAUAACUGUUAAAAUAUUGUGGUAUUUAAUAUAUUAUUUAUUUGACAUUAAAAUUUAAUAAGGAUACAAAUGUAAAAGUACAUAUUUUCAGUUUUUUCAGUUAAAAAAAAAGCAACUUAAUACUUAUUUUUCGAGAUUCAGACGAAAAAAUAAACAUAUUAUUCAUAUUCAGACAUUUAGAUAUAUUCAGAAUUCAAACUAAUUCAGGUCUAUUCAGAUUUUAGACAAAAAAAACAAACGCCACCUCAAUCAAUAAACACACCAUAAAUGUAGAGUUGUUACUAUUAGAAUACAUUAUAAUUCAUCACAAUUAUGAUAGGUAUAUACGUGUGUAAUAAUUUAUAUAAGAUGCUAAAUUUUGAAAAUAAUAAAAAAUCAUUUAUACAUAUUUAAAAAAAUCAUUAAUACAUUAAAAUGUGCAUCACAUAUACAUUUACAUAAUAGCAAUGACCAUAGUAUAAAAAAAACUCCUAAAAGAGAACGACUUCGUUAUUUAUGUUAUUUUAUAUAUUUUUAAUUGAUUAUUAAAAGGAUCAAUUGUUAAUUAUUAUUCUCCAAACAUAAUCACCGUUAAACAUUUAUUCAAUUUAACAAUAGGUAGAUGUUAAAUAAUAUUGGAAUAUUUAAUGAACAAUAUAAUCACUAUUGCAGUUGUUUUUUUUUUUUAGUAAUGGAUUAUUCGAAACUCAAAUUCAUUUUUUAGCCCCCUUACCUCUCUUAAAAUUCAAAUUUAAGUGACUAAACAAAUAAAACUGCUUAAAAUCUAUACGACUACAUCUUUGGGGACCAAUUAAUAUGGAUGUUUAAAUCUUGAUUUAUUAUUAAAUCUUUGAGUUUCAACCACUAAUAACAUCAUCAUCGAUUAAUGACAAAUAAAAUAAUACAUCAUCAAAACCAUUAAACACGUCCAUCAAUAUCAAAAACAAGUAAAAAGUUUAGCAUGUAUUUCAAAUAUACUUUUCAUCCCAAAAGUUGUAGAGAAAGUCUCGAUAUCAAUGUCACUAUGAGACGUAAUUUUAUAUUUAAAGUCAGCGCAACUUAAAAAUUACUAUGAAUGAAUAAUACACCAUAAAAAAAUUAUUUAUAAGUAUUUUCAUCAUGUAUUUUUAUUUAACAAUGGUGACAUUUAUUUUUUAACUUAAUGACUUAAAGUGGCUUAACUUAAUUAAUUAAGUUAAUUUUAGGUGUUUGUUUUUAUAACUUAAUAGGACAUUUUAGAUAAUUUUGACUUAAUAAAAUAGGCCAAUUUUUUUUAACUUUUUACUUAAUAGAGAAAUUUGAAUUAAGUCAGUUACUUUCUAAUGUAAAAAAAUAUUCCUACUUUAUAAUUUAUUUUUCAUGCAUAUUCAAAAACUCACCCAUAGAUAUUUACCCCACAUAAUCUCAUCUUUAUUUUCUUCCAGCCGUCAUGGAAUCCCUCCUCACUUUGCUUCUCUCCUCUAGUUCUUGAAUCUCCCUUUAAUUUCUCGCUAGGCAAAGCACUUGAAUUGGGCUUUUUUUUUUUUCCUUUUCAAUUACGUUUUCCAACAUUCACUUAUAUAAUAAUCAACUAGUUGCUACUCUUUUUAGUGAUAAAAUUUGAAAUAUGGUAUUUUAUAUAUUAAAUUUUCAAAAUUAUGUAUUCACUUAAAUGUAGUUUUACUUAUAAAUAUUAAAAUAUUAUGUUAUUUAAUAUAUUAUUUAUUUGACAUUCAAAUUUAAUAAGGAUAUAAAUGUAAAAGUACAUAUUUUUAAUUUUUUAAGUUGAAAAAAUAACUUAAUAUUUAUUUUCAGAUAUUCAAAUAAAAAAUAUAUUAUUUAAAUUCAAAAAUUUAAAUCUAUUCAAAAUUUAAAGUAAUUCAGGUCUAUGCAUAUUUCAAUCAUAAAAACAAAUGCCACAUGAGUCAUUCAAUUUCUAAUUAAGAGGAUAAAAAAUAGAUUUGGACUAUCCUAAGACAAAAACAAAAAAAAAAACAAAAAUAAGAUUUCCUAAUAAGUGUACUAACGUGGUCACGCGCCUUGAGAAACGCUUGGACCUAACACACUAUUUUAAUCCGAUAUGCAAAAAAAGAAAAAAAAAAAAAAGGAAAAAUUAUGAGAUGUAUAAGUUUCUAGAGACGUGUUAAAUUUUGAUGAAACAAUGAAGAAAGUCGGUGGCCGAAGUUGGUAUGGGGCAAUGCGAAUGGUGGUUGGCCCACGUUGCCCUGUAAUUGGAGUUGUUAUAAUUUUUCUUAUAAUUAAUAGGACUUGACACAGACUGCAGCAUCAGCCGUUGGAUGUGGAGGGAGAAACUAAACAAUAGAAAACCGUAUGGUGGGAUGACGGUAGAUGUUUGUUACAGAAACUGUACCAUAGACAGGUCCUAAUUAAUAAGCUCUACGUUUUGAAACAAUAAAUAAACUCCAGAUGACCAAAAUAUCAUUUCAUACUGCUACCUAGACAUCUUGGCGAGGGUGGGUAAUGUGGGGCCCGGAGCUUGUUUGAUCGUCAAUUAUUCUCUGGUUUGGUGAAACGAAUGGACGGACGAUGGUGAUGGCUUUUAGGAGAUUAGUAUUAUUAUUAUUAUUAUUAUUAUUACAUUGAGAUCGUAAAACAAAAAAUUCAAUUAAUAAUAUAAAAUAUUUAUUUAAUUUAUUAAUUAUUAUAUAUACACAAUAAAAAAAUUUAUAUACAUAUUUAUAAAUGUGUAAAUAAAUUUCAUUCAAUAUUAUAUCCAAUUAAUCAUUUAUAUUUUUACAGCGGUUUAAUAAUAAUAUUUACUAAAUACAUAUGAUUAUUUUUAAAAUUCACAGUAUUUUUAAAAAUAAAUUUUAUAAAAUUUUUAACUAAUUUUCUUUACAACUAACUAUUGAACGGUUUAACUAAUAGUAAUUAUUUUUAAAAUUAUAGUAUUAUCAAAUUAGUCCUAUGUCAAAUUUGUUAUUGCUGUUUUUUUUUUAAUUAAAAAAUUACAUAGUGCAUACGUGCAUAAUAUGCCCAACUCAAAAAUUCACACAAAAUAUACUAUUUAACUUUAAGGCUUUAAUUGAAAAAAAAAAUUAAGAUUAAGAUGAAUAAAUACUAGAACAUAACAAAUAGAUAAACUCUCCCAUUCUUUAAAAAGAUUAAUUUUAUUUUAAACUUACACUUCGAAUUCAAAGUAGACAUUGAUUGAUAAAAUUAUACAAACGGAUCAAUAUUCCUACAUUUUCUUUUUAAUUUCAAAACCAACAGAUAUUGUUUGUUCAUUAUAUGACCUCCAAACAAAUAAUUUCAUUAAUAAAAUAAUAAUGAAAAGUGUCGUGAUGGGUAUAGAGUAAUUAGGUGGCUAAGUUUCUACUUUUCAUUCUAACUCUUGAGGUUGGUAGGCGCGUGGGUGGUCCACAAAACCCGUGGACGGUAGCAUUCAAACAAAGACUGGAGGCACCAGAAAAAUGUCCAAAAAGUGUGAAACCGUGACGUGUUCAACAUGUUAAUAAAUUUAGGCAAAUGUUAAAGUUACGGAGCUGGCUACGUUACAGAAACUGUACGUAACAGCCAUGCAUUUUUUAUUCGUUGGAUCUAGAGACUGAAAUUGGAUGGUUGGGAUUAAAGGCCAGAAUAGAAAUUAAUCACGGGCAACCGUUUUUAACAUUUAGAAGGGUUUAUUUUCAUGCACACCCAAAUAUUUUGACAAAUAUCAAUAUGCACCCAGUAACUUUUUAUGUAAAACCACAUAACCGACCCGUUAACUUUUCUACUAUUGAAUUAAAAAACUAUCAUGCCUCAAUUGAAUUAAAUUGAUCAGGUAAAAUAUCUUUUAUAACUUGUCAAUUUUUACAGUGAAAUAUACGAGUAUUUAGUAAAAUCAAAUUUAUUUUUUAUUCAGUAAUCAAAUUUUUUUAUUUAGUGAAAUCAAAAUUAUUUUUCUUUAGUUGUAAGAUUUUUUUAACAAAAAAAUUCUAAAAUCAGAUUUAACUCAUUUACUAUUUUAAAAAAUGAACUUUUUACUAACCAAACUAGAGUUUAUCUUUAGUCAACAUAUUUUUUUCUCUAAAAUAACCUUUGAUAGAAUUACUUAUAUAAACAUGUCAGUAUCAAAAUUACUUCAUAUUUUACCAUCCAUCAAUUUAAACUAGUGUGAAAUUUUUUUAGUUUGAUAUUGAAAAUAUGAUAGUUGAUGAGAGAAAUCUAAUUCAAAUUUACAGAUAGAAUAGUUUCUUAUAAUUGCGUACAUGGUAUAUCAAAAAUAUUUUUUUGUGAGUUUUUAAAAAAAUUGUGUCACAAGAUGAAAUUAUCUCUUGAUUUUUCAAUUCCUGGAAUUUAUGUAAAACAAUAAACACAAGUAAAUCUUUUGGUUUGUGACUUCUUGAAGGAAUGUUUGGGAACGCACAAGUUCCUCUCUCCUUCAAAAAGAAUGAUAAGUGCAAAUACCAACCUAGAAAAUUGAUUUAUAAUUCAAAGAAGAUUUGAUUGAAGAUGAUUAAUUGAAAUUUAUCUUUGCAUGAUGUCAAACAUUUUUCAAAAUGACUAAGUCAAGUCUCUUUGUUAAUUCAAAUCAAGAAAAAUUAGAAAAAUAUUAAUGCAUAGAAAUUCUACUAAGAGUUAUUUAUGAAAUUCUCAAACGAAUAGAAAUUAAAUUAACAUUUUUAAAUUUUAGUUAUGGGUUUAUUUUAAAAAUGGGUUUAGAAAGAAAUUUGAGGGGUUUAAAGAACCCCGCCCUUUCUUUAAUUAUUCGGUGAAUUUGAAAUAUAUUAAUAAGGUAUAAGAAUAUGUUAUUCUAAUCUUCUUAUGCAAAAUCUAUGCAAUUAAAAAAAAAUUCACCAAACGGUAUUUGUCUUUUUAUUGACAUUUAAUAAUAUUGAUGGCAAAUAUAUACAAUUAUCAAUCAAUUGUUAUCAACUAUUCAAGAUAACUGAAAAACUAAUUGCGUGAAGUUGGAGUAAUGAUUGUUUGAAUUGCCAAGAGUUUUUUUUUAAUAGAAACUAUUGCAAUUCAUAUCAUUAAAAAACUUAAAGACUACAAGUCGAAUAAAAAAUCUUUCCUUAUAAAAGAAUUUGACCAACUCAAAGUACAGUGUUAAAUCCUUGAGAUACAAUGAACCUAAAAAUCCUACUUUGACACACCACAAAUAAUGAAUCUAACUUAACAAUCAAUGGAGAUAAAUCAAUUUUACUAGCAAAAUAUAAGCCAAAACACAAGGCAACGUCUUCACCAAAAUCAAUAUCAUUCAAAUAAUUCCCCUUGUGAACGCCUGAAGCUAUCAUAAAAACAACAAAAAAUAAAAAAAUAAAAACAAGUAGACAAGCAAAAAAAUUCCCCAAUAACAAGUUACCCUACAAAACUUUUCCUUGUAGAACAUACACAGAAACCGCAGCUAUAGGGCUAUCGAAAGUAGGGAUGGCAAUGGGGAGGGGAGGGGAGGGGACCAAUCUCCCCAUACCCAUCCCCGAUAUUUUGCGUAUGUCCCCGUCCCCGUCAGAAUUGCUUGAGAGAAUCUCCAUCCCCUCCCCGAAUAAUAACAGGGGAUCCCCGAGGGUCCCCGGUCUUUGGAAAAGCUAGGAAAGAAAAGGGACGUGAAAAACAAAGGGGGUAGAUUUUUUGAAGGGGAAAGAAAAAGAAACCCUAGAUCUAAAUUUUUCUCUUCUCUCUAUGAAGAACUAAACCUAUUAUUCUGGUUGAAGAUUAAUAAAGCUUUGGUUCAUCAUUACUGUGAGAUCUUUCUUAUGCUUUAAUUGUUUUAUUGCUUUUUGGGUAUUUGUUUAUUCUCUAAAUUAUUGUCAUGAUUAUAUUUGUUAAUUAGAUAAUUGGCCACUAUUUAAUUAUCAACUUAAUCUAUUGUCAAUUAAAAGAUUCAUCGUAUGAAGAUUUUAAUAUUUGUGACAAAUAGCAUAGCAGUGCGUUGUGUUAUGAGAAUAAACAAUCUAAUUUAAAUGAACCAUCGUAUGCGUUUGUUGAUUAGGAUUUGGGUCUCUCUGAUUUUUCAGGUUGUCAAUUAAUUAAAUCCUAUGAUUGUAUCUAGGGUUAUCUAUUAAUUAGGGAAAUAACCAAUGGUCGUACCUUAGUUAUCGACUAGUUAAAGAGAGAUUGGCUAUUAAAGGGUCUCAGUAGCUAGGGAUGGCAAAAAUCCCCACGGGGACGGGCACCCUCGGGGAUUUUCCCCAUUCGGGGAGGGUACGGGGAUAAUUUUAUACCCAAUUUUUUUUUCGGGGAGGGGACGGGGAAAAUUUUUUACCCAAUUUUUUAUUCGGGGAGGGGACGGGGAUGAGGUGGAAUCCCCAUCCCCUACCCAUUUCCCCAUUUUAAUUUUUAUUUUUUAUUUUUAAAAUUACUAAUAAAUAUAUAACAAAAUUAUAAAUAUUGGCAAGAUAUGAGUGGAAUUUUGGGUGUGACAUGUAUAUUUGAUCCAAGGUAUAAAAAGAAGUUCAUUGAAUAAUACUUUUCUUUUUAUUUUUAAAAUUACUAAUAAAUAAAUAACAAAAUUAUAAAUAUUGUUAAAAAUAAUAAAUAUCAAAAUAGUUGUAUGUUGGGAAAGUGGUCACCCCUUACCAGGAAUUAGUGGAAGAGUAUCAAUUGAAGUUUUCACCAAUUGUUUAUUGCUUUGAUUAUACUGGUUGUAGUUCUUCUAUUAGAUCUACAGGGGAUUCUUAUAAGAAAGCAACCAAAUGGAUGACAUGUUUUGAUGAUUAUGUAAACAAUGGAGAUUGUGCAGUUGUUGCAGAUGAAUUAGAUUCAUAUUUGGAUGAAAAAGUUAUACCCCGGAUGGAAGAUUUUAAUAUUUUGAGUUGGUGGAAGACAAAUGCUAAUAGGUAUCCUACAUUAGCUCGAAUUGCUACAGGACGAGCAGGAGGUAAAUAGUUUUAUUAAAAAUAUUAAUUAAGUAUCUACAUUUAUUUCAUUUAUUUUAUUGCCGAUGUAAAAAAUAUUUUUUUUUUCUUUUUAUUGUAGGAUUAUGAAGAUUGAGACAUUGAUAAAGAUAAUUAUUUUAAUAAUUUAUAUUUUGAAUGUGACUUUGUAAUGGAUCAAUAUUAAUGUAAGAUAUAUUUUAAACUUUAUUUUUAUCUGAAUUUUUUAUUUUAAUAUGAUUAAUUUAAAAUCAAAAAUAAAAAAAUGUAUUAGACUAUUAAUUAUUCGGAGACCGGGGACCCUCGGGGAUCCCCUGUUAUUAUUCGGGGAGGGGAUGGGGAUUCUCUCAAGCAAUUCUAACGGGGACGGGGAGGGGACGGGGACAUACGCAAAAUAUCGGGGAUGGGUAUGGGGAGAUUAGUCCCCUCCCCUCUCCUCCCCAUUGCCAUCCCUAGAUUUUUGCCAUCCCUAUCGAAACCUCUACCCACCACUAUUAGAGUUAAAAAAAUCUCUGAUAUGAGUGUAUUCUUCUAAUUUGAACUCUAACGUGAUUUUUUGAGAGAUUCAUUGGAAAAAAACCUUAAGGAGUUAAAGAAGAAAUUUAAAAAAAAAAUCAUAAAAAGAGGAAUGAAAAGAAAAAGAUGCUUUACCAAGAGUUGAUUGACAGUAAUUGGUAAAUUUGAGCAUGCAAUAAAAUUUACCCAUAUAUUCAUAUGACAUAAAAUAUAAUUUUAUUCAUUAAUUACACUACUAAUUUGUCUAAAUUUUAGUUUUUAAAAAAAUAAAUUUCUAUAUAUUUACAUAAAUCUUAGUUUUUAUAAAAAUAAAUUGAAAAAUAAAUUUAUGUUUUUAUAAAAAUAAAUUUAUGUUUAUUUUUUUACAUUGACCUGAAGAAAAGACUAGUACUACUAAGCUGCUGUACGGCCAAGGCGGAUGUACGGUACAGCAGCAAUUUGACUGUUUGGGGGUGGGGUUGAUGGCUUACAUCAAAGUUAGUGUGUGCUAAGGAUUAACAAUAAUAAUGGGGUAAAUAUGAAAUUAAUCCUUGCCCAAGCAUUAGAAGUUCGUCGGUUUUCUUUUAACCGGAUAAUUACCGGUGAAUAUGUCACGCGUUCCUACACGUGGCAGCAUCUAAUUUAUUCGCUUGUCAUUUCAGUUUCUGUUAGUUACAGUUUCUGUAACGUAGCUAGCUCCGUCAGGUACAGGCAUGUUGUAACUUACGUUUCUCGUAAAAAUCAUAUAAGUUCUAUUUCUACCGCUAGGGUGAGCAUGGGUUGAUUUGGAUUAAAUUUUAAGUUAAUUUAAAUUAAAUUAUAAAAAUUUGGGUGUAAUCUAAAUUAAUUUAAAUAUUUUUAACAUAACUCAUGGGUUGGUUAAAUCAAACUAUAAAAAUUUGGUCCAACUCAAAUUAACUCAAAUAUUUUCAACACAACCCAAAGCAACUCAGUUGGAUUUUAUUAAAAUUAUAAUAAUUAUUAAUUGUUUUUAAACCAACCAUUUUGAGUUUGGUUUGGAUUUUAUUAUCAAAAUAUAUUUUUUAUUUUGAGAAAUUUAAUUUUAUCAAAAUUAUAAUAAUUAUUAAUUGUUAUUACUUAUUAAAUUGAUAAUAACAUAUAAAAAUUAUAAUUCAUAAAAAUUAUAAAUAACAAAUUUUACAAUAACUUAAUCCUUAAAUUAAAGAAUACUAGAAAAUUAAAAUAAAGUUUAAUCACAAAAAUCAUUAUUUAUCAAUAAAUAAGAAAAUUCUAAUAAAAAACUUCUACAAGCACGAUAUCGACAAGUAAAUUCAAAGAAAGAAAGAAAGAAAGAAAAGACUAGUACUACUAAGUAUUAACCCUAUUACAACACAAACUCUAACAAUGUCCAUACAAAUAAAAAAAAAUAAGACAUUCUAACUCAAGUGUCAAAGCAAUCCAUCAUAAUCAUUUCCAUCCGUAGUACUUUAAUCGAGAGAUUCCACGAUUAACUGACAAAAUGUAUGACAAUGAUAAUUUACAUUGAUUAUGACAUAAUAGAGAUGGAUUUGUCAAAGCCAAAUCAUUUGCUGGAAAGGAAUUUAGUUGAAGUAGGAACCAAAAUUCAACUUAGAUGGAUCUAUAAAAUUGGUCAUUCAAUACAUAAGUACUUUAUCAACAGAUUCAACACAUUAUAAAUUUAUGGAUUCAACUAAGUUACAACCAGCUGCAACUUAUUCCUCUCACAUAAACAAUAAUACAGCGGUAGGCUAUAUUAUUUACAAAAAGUACUUAUGUAUUGAAUGACCAAUUUUAUUACCUGCAAAAUUAAUUAAUCUUUCACUCUAUCAUCUAACUAAUGGAAGGCAAUCUUAUUUUAGGUUGUAAUGAUUAGAAACUAGCAGGAAGUGGGGGCGAUGCUCCAUAUUAAUUUGGAUAAAUCCCUUUCUAGUGAAGAAGUUAAAAUUAUAAAAUAGAGAUCAAGAUAGAAAUUUAAAGGCCCCGAUUGUUUUUUACAGACUUAAAAAUGAUAUUGAAAAAUUAAAAGCUAAUUUUAGUAUUUAAAAAUUACUUUAAGAAAAAUCACCCUAUCUUCCUGUAAAUUUUGAAAAGCAUGAAAAGAGCAGUUUUUCAAAAAUUGAUUUCGAAAAUUAGUUUCAUACUUAAUACAAUUCCAUAUAUCCUAACAUUUAUUAUAAAAAUUCAAAUUAUCCUUAUUAAAUUAGGAAAUAAAGUCAGUACAUUUAAAUAAGAGUGAUGAUAUAGACACAAACUCUUGUACCAACUGACGUAGCAUUAAUUUAUUAGUUGAAUGAAAAUAUAAAAUAAUAUAAAUAAAUCAUGUGGGCCAAGAAAUAUUUAAUUUAACCAAUUUUAUCAUGUCACAUUAUAAGCAACUUAUAAACUCAUUGGAUUCGACUCUUUACUAAAAUAAAAAUAAAUUAAUAUAUAUAUAUAUAUAUAUAUAUAUUUACAUACAUAAAAUGUGAUUAUAUACACAUAUUUAUAAUUGAAUAUGUACAUAAAUUCUGUAGAUUUAUGUCUAUCUAUACAUUUGCAUUCUUACCACAUUUUAAAAGUGUGAUUUACCAAAUACAUGGGACUUAUUUGAAAUUUAUAGCACUUUUAUAAAUAAAAUUUAUCAAACGUUAAACAGAUUCUCUAUUUUCGCGUAUAUAUCCUCAUGUAAAUUAUAAAAAUUCAAAAUUAUCUUUAUUCAAUUAGGAAAUUAAAUCAUUAUUUUUAAAGAGAUUCUUAUUAUUACUAAUUAGAUUCAAAUAACCAAAAAAAUACAAUCAAUAAAAUAAAAAUAUUUAUUUUAGUUAUCAUUUAUUAUAUACACAUAUUUAUAAAUGCAUGUGUAAAUAAAAUUUUAUAGAUUUAUGUCUAUUUAAGUUAUUUGCAUUCUUACAACAUUUAAAAAAUGAGAUUUACUAAACACAUGUGAUUGUUUUUAAAAAAGUUACAACACUUUUAAAAAUAAAAUUUAACAAAUGUUUAAUUGACUCUCUCCAAAGGUAAUUGUUUUUACAGUAUAGCUAAAGUAAUUUAUAAAUUUAUGAUAAGUAUUUGUGAAUAUUGGUCUAUGUAAAGAAGUAAAAACAACAUAUAUAUUAAGCAGCAUGAUAUUAAAACUCUUAGUAAAAUACAUAUACUAAUAAAAGAAAGACAACAAUGCAAUAAAUAAGCUUAUAAUAUAAAUUAUUAAAAUUGUAUAUUAAAAAAUUAUGCAUGAAAUUCUUUUUCUAUUUUGGUGAUAGAGAAUGCGAUAUAAUUGAAUUAUUUGAUUUAAUAAAAAAAAAAUAUGACUGUGAAGGAAAUUAACAAUUGAAUUGUGGAAUGUUAUUAAUUGUUAUUGUAUCAUUUUGCAACGUUCUAAUAAUAUGGACAAUGUUACAGUAUAUUGAUGGGCGGUAAUAUUUUCACCUCUUAAAUUGUGUAAAGUCAGCUCCAUUUAAAAAAAUUAUAUAUAAAAAGCCCAUUAGUUUUAAUAGUUUCAAAUUAAGAUUAAAUGCAAAUAAUUAACCAAUUAAAUCCUUAUUAAUAAGAUCAUUGAGCUUUAAUUAAACUAAUAAAAUGCAUUUGAUAAAUGAAAUUUACGAUAUUUAAUUACAUGAAAUUUAUUGACUACAUGAAUAAUAUAAUUGUUCAGCUGUUUAAACUUUUUCCCUAUUUAAAUUUUAAAAAACAAUGUGAAAUUUUGUAAAUAGUUCUUUGAAAUGGGGUGGAUUUACACCAUUUGUGCAGUGCAAAUAUCCUAAUUCUAACAUUUUUUUUAAAAAAAAAGACCAAAUCAUAACAUUUUUUGUAUACUAAGUUAAAGUAGUACUAACAUUAUAGCCCCCUAAUGAUUUCAAUUCAUUCAAUGAAUAUAUAAUUUAAGCAUGUUAUAAACUAAGUCUCUAAAUCGAAUUAAAAAAAGAAAAAAGAGCUUAAUUGCUGACAUAGUUGAAAAUAAAAUAAAAAAUUUUAUUAUUAGAUGAAAAAUUAUGAAACUUAAGGGGUAUAAGCGAGUCGGCAGCUGCUCACCAGGGCAUAUGUAAUAUUUGUUAAUACAUUUCAAAAUUUUAGGUUUUUUAAUAAUAUUUUCAAUACAUUUUCUAGAAGGUUUAGAAAAAAAAAAUGACUCAAUACUUUAAUCGAGCUAUGAAUAAACUCAUGUGUUAAAAAAUUUCAUAUUUACACCCAAUAAGAUUAAUUAAUGGGUGAUACAAAUUUAAGAUAGUUAAUAAUAAUAUAUAUCAUCUUAAGUUAACUUCAACUCAUUAACCUUGUAUAAGGUUUGAUGGGUCGUGCCGCAAAUUAUCACCUCUAAUCCUUUUUGCAACAGGCAUGAUGAAUGCUAACAAAAUGAAACUUCUAUAUAUUUAGUUGUUAUUCUUUUUAAUGAAAUAAUAAGGAGCUUUGCUGCAAAUUUCCAUCCAGCAUGGCAUGGACGCACGUGAAAUUUGCUAGUAUGGUCCUGGACAUGCGUGGCUGAGAUGCUUCUAAAGGCAAAGAAUUCCAAGUUCAUACCAAAUAUAACUUUCUGAUAUUUUUGUGGUAUCAAGUUUGUUUUUCACAAACUAAGGUGUCGGCGUAAAGUUGUUGUCCAUGCAAUGAAGUUUUAUACAUAAAUAUAUUAACCUAAAUUGUUACUAAAGUUCCAUAAUUAGCAGUUCCUGAGAGUUUUUACUAUAUAUUUUUUUGUUUUAAUUCAACAUAUGUUUAUUUAAUACGAUUUUAUUAAAUAAAUGUGCAUAUUUACCAUAUUUGUCUACGAUCAAUUAGUUGGAAAAAAAAAAGAAAAUUAAUAAAUUUAUUUAUUUGAUUGUUAAUGGUUUAGGCAUUUGAAUUCCCACAAAGUCAGGGUGUCAGCUCUGGACUUCUGGUGAUGUAUUUUUCUAAUAAAGAAAUAAAAUAUUGUUGUCAUUUUUUUAAUAUUCUAAUUUACCAAGCCUACCAACCAAUUAAUUUUUCUAAUUAGAUCAUUAAUUCAUUACACGUGCAUUCGCUGGCCCAGUGCUCCAAUCCCAUGCAUGCUGCACAACUCAAUGUGUUUUAAUAAGAAAAGGUUUGGUUAGCCUGUGCUGAUGCCAGAAGCCCCUUAAGGAGUUCAGGUAAACGUAAAUAUGUCCAGAUUUAGAUUUGAAUAUGUAAACGUAAAUAGGUCCAGAUUCAGAUUCGUUGCGCUAGAGAGGGGCACGCACGAUCGGGCUGCUGUCAGGUGGUACGUUGGCGUGGCAAUUCUCAACACGCGCUUCUCCUGGUGCAUACUUACGGCAAGUUGACACGUGACCCGUGUGGAUUGAGUGGACAGAGUCACGGGCACUGAUUUUUGUCAUCCAUAACGACUAACGUCGGAGACUUCGAGAAGAAAGAAAUUGUUGUCGUUUCUAAGGGGAAAAAAAUAUUUAAUUUGUUGAAGACAAAUUAACGUCGGAGAUUUUUUUUAUUUUUUAUUUUUAAUUUUGCAAUCUAAACCAGUCUAAUCAAAAUGUCAAUUUGACAAAAGUUGGACUGAUUUAGAUUAGUUCUAUUAGUUUGAUUGGAUUAAAUUGAAUUAGAUCUUGAACAUCCUAACACUUUUCAUGAAUGUUUUCCUUUUUUUUUGAAAAAAAUUAAUAAGGAGAAUUCCCAUGAAUGUUAAUUUUAUUGAUAAACUUGGCAAUUUUAAGAAAUGUUUUGACGCACGAAUAAUGCAAUUCAUCAACCCACAUAGAUAUGGAUAUAGGAAGCAGAGACCAGAUCGAUCUUGACAUAACGAAAACUUGUAUGUGUAUAUGUAUGUUACAGACCAGAUCGAUCUGUAGCAUAGACUUCUCCUAUAUGUAGGUUAUAUUCAAAUUACAAAAUGAACACAUGUUAAGGAUCUACAACUUCUUCUUUAAUCUAAUAAGCUCCCUCAACUUUAUUCCAAAACAAAAAAGAAUCAAAUUUUUGUUGGAAAUAUUUAUGAAUGAAGAAGCAAAAAGCGCUUGUAUCAAGGAUCUAAUUAAAGAACUGCCAGAGGCAUAGAUCUAUCAAAGCUCCCUCGCAUGACUCUUGGUCUCGGUGGCUUCUUCUUCUUCAUUCCGAAUUUUCCCUCCAUCUGAUCUCUUCCAACCUUUCCAUUUCCAAAUUGAAUUGAAACUUGCCUCAUAUUCGUUUGUUGAAUCCCAUCUUUUGUUGCACCACCAUGCAUCAAAAUCCUUGAAAUCCCAGCAUAAUGCAAGGACUCAGCUAUUUGCAAUGGGGUCACGUUCUUACUUGUCCUUGCCUCAACAUCAGCUCCCUUCUUCACAAGCAAUUCAGUCACAUCUGUGUGGCCAGAUUCCACCGCACAAUGCAAAGCUGUGUACCCAUCUUCAUCUUUAGCAUCAACAUCAAUCCCUUUAUCAAUCAGAAUCCUCACAACCUCAAUCUUUCCCUUAAACGAAGCCCUAUGCAAAGCAGUCCAUCCAUGUAGGUCUUUCCCAUUGAUCGCGGCGCCUGCUUCGAUCAACCUCUGCAUUGUCCUCACUUCCCCUUUCCUAGCGGCAAUACACAGGCUGUCACCAAGCUUCAACGCGUCAAAGAGACGGGAGUGACCGCACUCAGCAGCAACAUCAUAAGCGGUCUUUCCGCUCUUGUUUCUAAUAUAUUUAUUAGCACCCUUCUGCAAUAACAGCUUCACCAUUUGCUCAUAUCCCAAGCUUGCGGCGAUAUGCAAAGGCGUGUCACCGUCUCUAGCGUUGCGUAUAUCAGGCCUUGCUCCGUUUGCUAACAGAAGUCUCGCGCAAUCUCUUCUUCUGUCUUCAACCGCGAGAUGCAGAGCUGUGUUACCAUCUUUUGUUAAAGCAUUGACAUUAGCACCUUUGAUUAAGAGAAGCUUUAGUACUUCCAAAUGGCCGCCUCGUAAGGCCAAGUGUAUGGGCCCCCAUGUUGAUGUUCCUGAUCUUUCUGUGCUGGCUUUCCUCGCCAACAAGAGCUCAACAAUAAGUGCUUCCCCUGCAGCCGCCGCGGCUUCAAGUGGAGUACUGCAGCCACACCUGCCUUGAGACUCAACAUCCGGCCCAAACUCAAGCAAAAGUUGAACAAUAUCAGGCCUCCUUUGAGCUAUAGCAAUAUGAAGCAACGUUUGUCCCUGCGCAUCGGCAGAAUCAGCCGGGUUCCAAGCCGGGUCACUCCGCUCAAGAACCUCUCUUAAAUCAUCCAUUUCACCAUCCUUAACAAGCAGAACCAAAACAGGAGACCCAACGAACAUGAUCUUGAUUCCGCUGUCGAUGAACACUUGCUUCUUCCUCGUUGUGAACCAGUCACUGGGGACGGAAUCAAGCGUCGACGUUGCAUCUUUAAUUCCAGCUCCAGGAACAACAACGCUGUGCAAGAGGAAGGAAUCAUCACAGUGAGGGAAAGAAUCAGGAAGAACCGAUCCUGGAGGGAGAUGAUACGCAAUCUCUACGCUUAGUGUUGCGAGUGGUGAUAUGAUUCCUGAUUGCGGCUUCACAGUAUAACGAGCCUUGUUUGUAGGCUGAAUCCUGAAAGCAACAGGCAUCGUGUGCAUGACAUUGCGGAGAGUCAGCUCCCCGGAACAUUUCUGCCCUGGUUCAAUUCUGAUAGCUACAAGGUUCGACGGCUCCAAGCUUACAAGCCUAUCCAUUGAUUAAUUUUCUCUCCGUUUCCCAAGGACUGCUGAAAGGGGUUCUUUGAACUUUUUGAUUCAGGCUUAUUUUCUUCACUUUUGGUGGCAUGGGGAGGAAUUAGAGGAGUAACUGUAAGAGCUGCAAGUGUUGGUGUAAUCAACUGUAAUAUAAGGAGAAGAGAGGGCCGGCUCUAAUGGGAGACUGCCACGUGGUGGUGUUAAAAACAAUGAGACUUGUUCUGUUCGGCGUCCGGAGUGUAUAUACAGUUGUGUUAGUGGUGAAAGUUAAAGAAAUCCUGAAGUUAUUUUCGGAGUGGCUUCUGCAAAGUCACUUUCAGGAUUGUAUUGUAUCAUUAAAAAACAAAGCCAGUUUUUGUUGUUCUAGUAAAAGGCGAAUCAUUGGACAAACUCGUAAGAAUAUGUUGCCAAAUGUAUAAAAUAUGAAAUUCAAACAAUGAUUACAAUGUGAAAUUGGACAAUGGACAUGGCCUGUGUGAAUUGUUUUGUGGGCUUACUAAUUAAAUUAAUUCACUAAAAAUAAUGUCACUUUUGUGUCUGUGAAGAAGCCGAAAUGGCACAGUCAUUUACGUGGCCAACUACGGUGACUACUUCGUCAGUAGCUGCUCGAGCACUUGGUCAGCACAAGUUGCUUUCUUUCUUGGCGGGAUUAGUUUUUCUUCAUUGCUUUAAGUGGUGCAUUUCUGCAGUUUCAUUUUGCUUUGCUUAUGCCAUUGGAUUUGUGCCCCAUAAAUAAAUAUAUAAUUAAGCGGAAAAGUAUCAAAUUUUGAAAAAGCUUAGGUUUUGUGUGUGUGUGUGUGUGUGUGUGUGUGUGUGUUUUAAGCCGAAUUACUCGGCUAAAAAUUAAUCCGAUUAUUAUUGUUUUGGUGCUUAAGAUGUGACUCUAACCUAAAGCUCAUUUGAACUCUCUUGAUGCUCAUAUGGUAUUUUUUGUGUUGUGUCGUGCUGGCCCUUACACAUCUCGGCUCAUAUUUUUCAUGUUACUAAGUUCUAAUAUGUACAAAAGAAAUAGAGCAAUGUCCGGUGGUAGAUCCAAACACUCAAUUUGGGGUGCUUAUUUUUCAGUCUCAAAUUCGAUUAUUUUCUUUUAAAAUAUUAAAAUAAUAGUAAUAAAAUACUUAUUUUAAAUACUGAGCUCAUUACAACCACAUAUGUAAAAGUAUCAUUUAUAUUUUUUUUCUAAAUAAUCUUCACAAAAUAUUUUAAAAAAUAAAAUUAUGUGACUAUGGGGAUUUGAACCAAGUCUCUCAAACUACUAAAUAACACUUUUACCACUAAAUUACAAAUCUUUUAACAUAUUAAAAGUGCAUCCAAAUUAUUAUUAUUAUUUAAUUAUUUCAUAAGAGAUUUGGGGCACAUUUAAAAGAAAAAAAAUUAAUGGUGCAUAAAGGACUAAAGCCUCUCUUGAGUCCUUGACCUUAACUAGGUCCACCCAUGGUAAUGUCAGUGAUACCCAACUUGAAAAAUAUACAAGAAACUUGGAAAUUUAAAUUAAUGAAUAAAUAAAUAAAUAAAAGGAAACUUAGUGAUUGUAGCUGUUGUAUUGUAUUGUGGAUCAAAGAAUUACAAGUUCUUGGUUUCUCGGUAUUGGCUAAUUUUGAAGUUAAAUGAAGUUCGAAAAUAUUUACAAGCAAUAAAAUUAUCAACUGAAUGAGACAAGGAAAGAGUAUAAAGACCUUAGCAAAUUAGCAAUCCUUCUUUAAUUUAGUAACAGUGACGCUUAUAAAGUUAGAAGACGUAUCAAAUCUAAUUUAGAUUUUGCCCCAUAAAACUAACUUAACUUAUAGUGCGUCUUUGUUUAAUUAGUAAAUAUUCCACAAAAACUGAUCAGCACUUUAUAGGAAAUUCCAAACACGUUUAUAUUCACAAGGAAUAUGUCAAGGAGAAAUGAGAAUAAAAAAAUGUAAAAACUAAUAAAGCUUCAUUAAUUAGAAUUUAUAACCAUAUGUGCUCCUAUACUACUUUUAUUAUUAAGAAUUUGAAGUAGAAGGUAGUUGAUUAUCAUGAAAUUACAAAAUUGUAAACGGAUUUGUUCUUUUGGAAAAAGAAAAAAAAAAAAAAAGGAAGGAUAGUUGAUUACUUGAUUAGUGAGAAAUCAUACGUAUAAAGGACAAAUUGAAAAAUGGGACCUGAAUUGCAACAAAGCUUCAUUGGAAUUAACUGCCGAUAAAAUUAAAUUAGUAUCACCCUACCCUUUCAUCUUAAUAUAUUCGAAAUUUCACCGAUCAAAGUUUCUAGCUUCGAUUUUUACGAUCUCUCAUCCUAAUAACACCAAAAGCAUAUUCAUUCGUUUGUAAGAUUAUGUAACAAAAUAUAGUAAAUAGCCUAUAAUUUUUUUGUUUUACUACUAACCUGUUAUCAUUCUUUUCUAAUAAUACAUGUUAAAAUAUUCACAGAAAAAAUUUAUCCCUAUUACACCCAACCACCUUUUUUUGUGUUUUUUUUGUUCAAAUUUUAGCAUUAAAGGGACAAUAAUGUCCUAUGAAAUAUGCAGAAAGACAGUUAAUAAUAUUCAAAAAUGUAAGUGGAGGUAUCUUACGCCACACACACAAAUUACACGACUCUCAUUAAUGUGUUGUUGUUGUUAUGUGUGGCGUAAGUUACAGUUGAAUGUCAUAUUCAAAAAAGUAAGUGGAGGUAUCAAUCUCCCUAAAUAAAUAAUUUAUGGAAGGUUGUUAGCUGUUGUACUUUUAGUUAAUUUUAAAAUCACAAUAAUAUGGUUAAUGUUAAGUUACAUGCAUGUAACUUAGGAGGAUCCCAAUAAUAUACCAUAUUUUAUUAAUAUGUACAGUAUUUAUAAUAUUUAAAAAUUAAGGAAUUAAUGUACGCAUGUAAAAGCUGCAUUGGAGCCAGUUGGAAAUCUUACUGUCUUGAUAUAUGCAACGAUUGUAGCAGCUAAAAAGGCAUGAUAUUUACUUAAUAUUAUUUCAAACAAUAAUUAUUUAUUUAAAGCAAAUAAUAAUAAUGAGGGCAGAAGGACUAUUCUAGGAUCAAUAUGGUGACAGUAUAAAUAAAUAAUAUUAAUUAUUAAUGCAUUGAUGAGUAUUGUUAAAAUGACAUAAUAGGUUUGUUUCAUUGAAUUGAACCUUUUCUCUUAAAAUAGCUAUAAUUUGUUCUCUCUCUCUCUGUGUUUUUGUUUUUGUUUUUCACUUUAGUUUUACUUCUCUUAAAAAACCAAAAAAAAAAAAACAAAAUUAAUGGAAACUGAUGAUGGGAAGACGGACAAUUUUCUAUAUUGUUAAAUAGAAAUGGGCACAAAUGUGAGUUUUUUGGGGCAAAAAAAUAUAGUCAAUGUACGUAGCGUUUGUCUAUUUGAAAACCCGUCAAUAUAAAAACAGGACGUAAAGCUUUCAGACAAAGUACUCUUAUGGCCGUACUUUCCAUAAACCAAAUCAAAAGAAGGAAAAUAUUUGUGUCUGGCUUCGAUGCGACUGUUAACAUUCACAAAUAAACACCUUUGCAUGGUCAGAAAAAUUAACAAGAAAUUAGAAGGCGAUGUUGCGUUCUACUUAGUUCUCUAGGAUUUGUGUCAUUUGUUUAUGCUACGGUUCGUUCCCAUUUGCAUUGCGUGGAAUAAUUGGCCGAAUAUUAUUAAUCUCAAUCUUAAUCUCUCAACUCUUGUCCCUUUAAUUUUUGUUUGUAUCUUUUUCUUUUUUUUUUUAAAUAUCACAUACAAUGCUUUUAAUAAAUAACUUCAUAGAAAUAUUUAAUAAAAUCCAACAUAUAUAAGUUCAAGAAACUCAAAAAAUAAAAGAAAAUAAACUCACGUUGUCACUGGAGAGACUCAAACAUGCUACCUUAAAAUUAAGUAGAGGGUGCAACUACUUGCACUUUAAAAAAAGAAAAGAAAAAAAAAGGGGCUUUGAACGCUCGUGAUAAUUUGCAAGUUAUGGAGGAUAAUCAUUGUACAAUGGGGAGAACUCUUAUGGAACAAUAUUCAAACUGAUAUUGAAAGCAUAUAAGAAUUUGGCUUGGGUGUUUUGGUGCCAUGAAUGAGUGCAGAAACAAAGAGGAAGCUUUGUCCCUUUAAUUUGAUCUGCUGUAUUAUAAUUAUUGAGAUUAAUCAAAUAAAUAACCGAAACAUGGUUACAGUUUUAUAGUGUAUUGCAAGUCUUUGGAGAUACUAUGUACCUCAAAAAAAAAUAUCGUAUAAAAGAGUGUUUUGUUUCACAGGGGUUCAAUGAGAUUUGAGAUGGCUGUAAUGAAAGUGAUGUAAAUUUUUUGGACUCUAAUGAGGUGUUUUUAGAUGGAGGGGGAUUUACAAGUAUUUUAUAGGGGUGAUAAAUGACUGUAUACCCACCAAAAAGGCCCAUUGUUCGAGUCCAUGAGCAUUACAGUUUUUUUUUUUUUUUUUUUUGAAAUUCAGAACAUGCAGUUUGUUUGAUUCAACUUCCGAAUUACAAAAUUAGAAUAAGAAAAAAAAAUGUGGAUGUUUUUUCUUUAAUUUACAUAAUAAUACAUGGUGUGGACGAUGUCUAUUGAGGGAUAAAAGAGGAAUGGGGGCACUGUGAAGUUUGUGUUUUUGUUUUUUUUAAAUUAUCAUAUUCAUACUGUCUAUAAAAAUAUGCAAGUUAAAAAAUUACUCAUGAUAUUGUUGUUUUUGUUUCAUAUAAUACUACUUAUGCACAUCGCCUCAUGCAAACAUUUCUUAGUUAUGCUUAAAAAAAUGAGAUUCUCACCAUGGGUCACUGUAAAAAUCCACAGAAGCCGUGGAUCACAGUAGGAAGCCCACUUGAACAGAAGAAGCUACCGAAAGCUUCGACAUUGUAUUUAUGAAAUGCUUAGUAAAUUUUGUUUUAUUUUGAAUUUAUAUUAUAAAUGGUGUGUUGCUAAAUUAAAAAAUAAAAAAGAAAUGCAAUGUGUCAAAAUACAAGAAUCUUACGGACAUUUUUGUCACAAUAUAUGUAAAUAAUUCAUAUCUUAUUCAUAUCCUAUGUAAGCUUCACUUGUUUAACACAAUGGUGGUUGAAUCUUCAAAAAUUCAUAAUCUUAAACAACCAAAUUUGGAAUUAAUUAAGCAAAUUGCCUCUAUAAAUUGAUUACAACAACCAACGACGUGUGAAGCCACAUGUCAAUUUCCCUAGACAGCCCAAAUAUUGAGGCGCUGUGAGGGAGCAAGGUGCAAUCGGAUGGGGGAAAGAGAGAGAGCCAAUGGUGAGAAUGGAUCGUGGUGAGGGAGAACCAACUGGUGGUGAGAUUUGUGGCUUCAAUGAGGUGAGUUUCGUGGCGCUGUGAGUGAAGUGAGAUUUGGCAUGAGUGUGAGGGAGAAUGCGUGUGUUGUGUGAGUGAGGUAAGCUGUGUCUGUUGUGUGCAUGGAGACUCUCACCACAAUUAGAAUUUAUAGUUAGCACAGAACGAAACACAAUAUUCUACGCUAACUGUGGAGUUAACCAUGGUGAGAAUAUCAUUAUUGUUUAUUAUAACACUUUUUUUUUUAAUUUGUUUUGACAAUAAAAUAAAGAACCUUGUAAGAAAACCUCAAUAACUCAAUUAAAAAACCAACUCAACCGAUGAUAGGUAAAUUGAGAAAUUUUCAACUAAAAAUUAUUAAGAUUGGUUUUAACUUCAAAUCAUAGUCACAUAGUUUUGUCCUUAUAAAGAUCAAAAUAAUGAAUUCUAACUCCGAAGUUUUUAGAUUUAUGUGACGAACUGACGAUAGUAUAUUGAAAUCGAUUGAAAUGAAAAAUUUAAUUAAAUGCAAUUCAAGAUGUAGUAUCAAAUUCAAACGAUUCGGAUUGUUUUAAAAAUUUCAAUGCUUUAAUCUAAAUCGAUUAAUCAAUUACACUCUUGCAAUUAUAUACCGUUAAAACUAAAAUAUGUAAAAUUUAGGGUGCAUUUAUUACCAUUUUCAAUUUGUUGUUUUUCGUUUUAUGAAAAGGAAAAUACAGAAAACUUGUUUGGUGAGCUCAUAUUGGUGGAAAACUGUACAGUGAUUAAAAACAAAAAAAAAUUCAUUUUUCAAUGUUUACAAAGGAAACAAGAAAACGCUAUUACACUGGGUUCUCUAUUUUAUUUCACUUUUACUCUCUGCCAAGGCCCUACCAUCUUAACUUUUAUAACAUGGUGUAAUAAAUUACGUGGGCCCAUUUAAUAAAGAAAUAAUCUAAUAAAUAAAUUAUUAUAACAAAUAUUUAAAAAUAAUAGCAUUCCAUACCUUACAGCUUAAUUACUUAAUAUAUUACCCAAAUUAUUUUAAAUAAAAAGUGAUAUCAUAUAAUUAUUAUACUAAAUUAUUACAUUGUUCGACCAAUAUGCAGUUAUUUAAAAAUUACUACAAACUUUCUUACAUAUAUUAAUGAAAAUAUAUCAAUAAUAAAGUUACAUCUUGACAGUUAAUAUAAAUAAAUAUAUGAUAAUUAUGAAAUAAUUAAAGAUUUUCUCAAUUAAUAUUAUCUUAUAACUACAAUUUAUUUACAUAAUUAAAAGUUUUUAAGAAAUUAUUAAAAUAUCUUCAAACCUAUAUGCAUUUAUAAUAAUAUAUAAUACAUCAUAAUAUAAUAACUAAAUAGAUAAAUUAUUUAUUAAUAUAAAAUAUAUGUUUAUAUUCAUUAUAUAAUAUUAUUCUUUCAUAGUAGUUUCAUUAAAUAAUUCUCUACUCUCUCUCUUUUUAUCUUUAUUUUUUCGGACAGACAAGUAACCAAACACCGCUUCACCUUUUUUUUAUUUUCAAAUACUAUUCUUAAAAUAAACUACCAAACAUAUUUUUAUUUUUAACAAAAACUAAUCAUUUUUAUUUUAUAAAACAAAUUGAAAAGUACUAUUUAAAAUAUAAUACCAAACUUACCCUUAAUAAUUUUAUAUUUGUCAAAAAGAUGAGAAGCUAAGUGGCACUAUCGUUUACCUAUUCAAACUAAACGUGGAGUCACAAUAUUGAAGACACUUUGGUGGCCACAACACUCUUUUCUUUAGUACGGAACAAUCUGGCUUACAUGACACUACAUAAAAAUAAAUAAUAAAAAAUCACCGAUUCCAACUGCCCCGGACAAAAAACAGGCCACACGUAAAAAGGCUUCUAUUUUUAUUUUUAUUUCUCCCCAUUUUAAAGAUGACGUCAUGGUGAUUAUGAAACCAGAAAAUAACAAAUUUUAGUUGUCUGAUUUUGUAGUUAUCCAGCGAAAACUAAAAAAACAGUGAACGCAGCAGCAGAUCUCCGUGUUUGUCGUCGUUCGAUGAGAGAUUCCGAUUCGUGAGCAUCGCAAGUGUUGAAAUGGAAUCAGACGAAAUGAGGAGUUAGCCUCUUAUUAUAUAAUAAUAAUAAUGAUAAUAAUAAUAAUAACUAAUCUCUUUUAUCAUAUAAUUGAUAAUGGAAAUUCACAUUGACAAAAGGCAAAUUACACACUGACUGGGCAGAAUAAAAAACAGUCUCUCUCAAAAGCAAUAAUUUAAACACUAACACCACCUUAAGGAGACACCCCAAAAAUAAAGCAGCAAGCUCUUACUGUGACCACACACACACACACACACCAAACUUUUAUUAUAGAAUAAAUCUAAGAUGAUGGAUGAUGGAUGCGUCACAUAAAAGUUAAUUAAUUUAAUCGCUGUCACUGCUGCUGCUGCUCUCGUGUCCGUCCUCGUGCUUCUUCUUCUUCUCCUUCUUUUUCUUCUUCUCUUCACCGUGGGCGGCGCCCUCGCCGCCGCCGACACCGGGGAUCUUCUGCUUGAUCUUGUCCACCAAGCCCUCCUUGUGUUCGCCCUCCUUGUGUUCCCCGCCGUGAUGCUGCUGCUGAUGGUGAACAUCAGUAGUGCCGACACCGGGGAUCUGCUGCUUGAUCUUGUCCACCAAGCCCUCCUUGUGUUCGCCGCCGUGAUACUGCUGCUGAUGGUGGACAUCAGUAGUGUGGUGGUCCCCACUAUGGUGCUCUCCCUUGUGCUUGUCCUCCUCCUUUUGCCCUCCUCCCAUGUGAAGGGCUUCUCCGAUCUUGUGAAUAACUCCUGACAUUUUCCCUUAAAAUGACUCUGUUCCUCUUCUUUUCUUUUCAAUGAAAAAUAGUUGUUUGCGAUCUUCUUCUGGUUGUUGUUGUUCUUGUUGGGUGAUCUUGGCUUGGUAUUUAUAGGCUCCAAAAGGAGGGACUAGAAUUAGGAUUAGAUUAUAGAUUAUUUUAAUACAUUUUAUGGCAAAUUCUGAUUUGGAAAGAUAAGAUUAUCCUUUUGGUUUUCCUUAUUUACCCUUUUGCACCCAUUACGUGUACGCGUCUUCGUGGGCUUUUUGGGUAUUUCAAUUAUAUCGCCAAUGCUAAAUCGACACGUUGCAUAUCAGCCGCGGUACUGCCGUAUGUAGUUGUCCAGAAAUCGAGUCGAUUCUCGAUCGUACAAUAAUUAAAUAAUAUUUCAUACGAAAUGAGUUUAGAUAUAUUUUGAAAAUUUAUUUUUAAUUUAAUUAUACGUGUUAUAUAUUUGUUAAUCGAAUAGAGGUCCCACGUAACAGAGUGUUUCUCUAAUCUUUCAUUGCUUUUAAUUAAUUUUACCCAAAUAAAAAAAAAAAGGAAAAUUUAGAGAGAGAGAGAGAGAUAGCGAAUUAGAAGUUGAUUGUAAUAUCGACACCUGUCAGACAAUCAAAUAUCGUUAGUUAAAAAUCAGUUGUCCAUAGUCAUGGUCAUAGAUGGCGAAAUUGAUACUUAUUUUAAAAAACAAAACAAAACAAAACGAAACGAAACUAAACUAACAGAUGUUGAAAUGCAGUUCCGUGUUAACAGUCUGUGAUGAAUCUUUAUCUUUGAGUAUACCAUUCAAGAAAUUAUCAUUCAAAAAUUUAUUUAAAGCAGCAGCAAAUCACCUUCUAAUUCCUGAAUCAAAUUAAUUCGAUUUUUUUCGAGUCGAUCAAUUCAUUAGAGAAUUAACGGGCUAAGUUAAAGUUUUGUUAGUUAUUUUUUUUUAUAUUCCUUUAGAUGAUAUGAUUGUCAUUGUCUUUCUUUCUCUGGGCAACAAUAAAUACAAGAUGUGCAAAAGCGUAGUGGAACAUAAUUCGAUUAUGGGUAAAGGGAUCAGUCCGCAUAAUGAGGAUAAAGUUUUUCUCUUUAAAAAAAUUUAACCCAAAGAAAAGGUCGUAGUUUGUAAUAGCCGACACGCAGAUAGAUCACAAAGCAUGGCGGUCCUGAUGGCAAUAACUAACUGAUAUCUUCUGCGAUGAGAGGAGAUCACGUGGUUCUGACACGUAUCGCCCCAUCAACUGAUGUUGUGGCUGCAAUCGCGGCCCAGUCUUUAGAGAGAAGAAAGAUCUGUUAUAACGGGACCUACUUUAGCAUCUAUUUACGACAAAGCCCCUAUUUACUCUACUUAGUAGUAAUAAUAGCAAGUGUCGGGCUUGGAUUCCGUGUUGCUUUAAAUAAAUAUCCGCGUAAAAAGAAAAUGCUUCUUUAAUCCCUUCCUUGUAAUUUUUCGACACGUGGAUGGUUGAAAUUAGCGUGCCGACAUCUUAGGAAUUUUAUCUUGGAGACGGGAACACUGCAGUAGGCAAUGCCAUUUUCUUCGGAUGGUGUGUGGUGACAACGCCUUGGAUUUUGACGUGCAAAGAAUUUAAAUUGAAAAAGAAAAAAAGAAAUUACCAGAAUAAGCAUAGAAGAGAUAUUUUUCUUUUUGUCCUUUUUGGAAUGGAAAAAGAGAUCAAGAGAUUGUUCCAGUAAGUAUUACACAUGUCACAGGCUUAUUCAUGCCCCAUUAUGGCAACUUUUAUGCCUCGCGGUGCCCUCGGUUCCAGCAUAAUAGCUAAGACUUCAAUUUUUCUAACAUAUUUUUGUUACAAAUAUGAACGGAGUAAAUGUAUAACUUUAAUCCUUUGAAUAAAGAAAUGGCGGUUCUCCUGCUCGUUAAUCUCACUUGAAUCCCACCCAGGCAAAAUUUCUUUAUUUUAUUUAACAACAAUUUAAAGAAAGAAACUUUUGCCAGGUUGAAUUUCAAGUGAGAUUCAUUCGUGGGAGAAGUGCCAUUUCUUUAUUCAAAAGAUUAUGGUAAUUACAACUUUCAAUUUCGACAUAAAUUAAAAUUAUAGGCUAUACAAUAAAAUUGCCCUAAAUUAGUCCUAAUCAAUUCAGAUUAUAAAUUUAGGUAUAUUUAUUAUUUUAAUAUAUUAAUGUUCUAUAUAUAUAUAUAUAUAUAUAUAUAUAUGUGUGUGUGUGUGUGUAUNNNNNNNNNNNNNNNNNNNNNNNNNNNNNNNNNNNNNNNNNNNNNNNNNNNNNNNNNNNNNNNNNNNNNNNNNNNNNNNNNNNNNNNNNNNNNNNNNNNNNNNNNNNNACAGCAGAAAAUAUUUGCUAUGGAUAAGGAGACAUGGUCCCACGUCCCACCGUCCCAAUGCAUAUUUUGUAUGUUUCCAUCUUUUCUGAAAUUUUAAUAAAUAAAGUUUUUUGACCACUUGGCCAAAGAACCUUACCCUUACACAACUUUGUGGUUGGAGUCCUGUGAUACAUGUAAGAACUUAUUUUUUUUCUUAAUUAUAAUAUUUUAGAAUAUAAUUAAGUGAAGUAGGUUUUUUUUUUAAAUAUGAGUAAAAUAGAUAUUUUUUAAAUAUUAAAGAGAGUAAAAUUUGAAUAAUAAUAUAUUAAAAUUAAUACAAACUAAUUUUAAUAAUUAUUUAAUUAUAAAUAUCAAUUAUAACAUCAUAUAAUAUCAAUUAUAAUAUCGUACAUCUCAAUUAAUUCAAUAAUAAUAAUAAUAAAUGUUUUUUGGGAUAAGUAAACAGUCGCAUGGCGACAAUAGUGGAUCUGGAUUAGAGUGAAGUGGUCCCAAGAGGCUGAGGCUGUGGCUGUGGAGUUCUAAAAGUCAAAAGCUCCACGCACUUUGUUUCAGUACCAUACACACUGAAAAAAUUUGCAUUUGCAAUGACGAAAACUUUUCACGAAAUCAAAACACCUCUAAACUAUUUUGUUAUCGAUAUUUAAUGGAGGGGUUUCCUACCUUUUUAACACUCGAUUCACGCCUUGACGCAUCUCACAGAAAACCUCAUGAUCCCAUUAAUCUUGCGUAACAUAUCUCAAAGCCAAUGCAAGUGAUCUUGUUGCCUACUUCCCUUUGACGAUUCAAAAUUGUUGAAAAUAAUUCUUUUUUUUUUUAACCUCAAGGAAGUGACAAAAUAUAAAAGAAUAUUUUCUACACAUUAAACAUCUAGAUUUUUUUUUCUUUUCUUUUUAGAGUACUUGCACAAACCGUUUCCAAGAGAGACCUUUUUUUUUUUUUUUUUUUUCCGGGCUUGGUUACUAAUUUGGUGUGAAUACUCUAUGGUGAAAAAGGAAUCACAAAGCUGUAAUCAAUUUUUUUGCAUCAUUUAGUUGUAACUUGAACAUUGGGAGGUUUAUAAAGAAUUAAAUUAAUUAUAAUGCCUCUACUAGGAAAAGUUCAGAGUAGCCCUUCACAACUUUUUAAAGGCUUAAUAAUUUUCGCUUUCUUCCUCUCAUAACAUAACAAAAAAUUAAGAGCUUUACUCGUACACGUCCUAUGGCUAUAUAGUAUUGGGUUCUCUACUUCAAUCGGCUAUCUCAAACCGAAGGUUAUUUGGACACACCAGCAGUCACGUUUGG
RNAcentral lists this long non-coding RNA (70286 nucleotides) under Citrus sinensis (sweet orange). RNAcentral describes it as "long non-coding RNA (CSIN_LNC002323)". Lineage: Eukaryota; Viridiplantae; Streptophyta; Magnoliopsida; Sapindales; Rutaceae. The record is from RNAcentral.